This 64724-nucleotide long non-coding RNA is filed under the name Phaseolus vulgaris (common bean). RNAcentral describes it as "long non-coding RNA (PVUL_LNC001826)". The record is from RNAcentral. Lineage: Eukaryota; Viridiplantae; Streptophyta; Magnoliopsida; Fabales; Fabaceae.
UGAUUUUUCUCUAACAUCGGAAAGAAAACUUGCAGCAUCAAAGUGUUGCACAAUUUUGUUAUACAAAGCUUUGGCAAGUUCCGUUUUUCCAAUUCCACCAAGUCCAUAUAUGCCCAACAUUCUUACAGUUUUAUCAUCAGACUUCAUGUCCAAAAGUGACAUAACUUCUUCUAUGCAGGCCUCAAGGCCAACAGGGUUUUGACCACUAUAUAAAGGUUUAGGAGUUAUAUAUUCCUUGACCUUCCCAACAAUUUCUUCAAUACAAUAGCUUUCAUCAUCCCUAUGAGAGUAGAGUAGAAUGUAAUAAUUAAUUAUUUGUUUGAUAUCAUGAUUUUUUUAUUAUUGUACUAAGUGAUUGUGAUUAUUGUAAUAGAUAGUAAGCAAUGAUACUAAUAGCAAGUAGCACAAAAGAAUAAUGAUUACACAUUAUACAAAAUUUACUGGAGAUGAAAAAGUUAAAGAAAUUUUAUUCUAAACAAAAAAUUCAAUAAUUUAUAAAAAAAUACCUAAAUAUAAUAUCAAAUUCAAAUAAAAAAUGGAUUUUUUUCAACUUUGUUUAUUAGUUUUUUUAUGUUUUAAAUUGUUUUUUAUAAUGUUCAGAAUUAUACUUUAUGACUAACAAAAUCAAUUAACACCCUGAAAAAAUCUAAAAUUUAAGAUGUGGAAUAUUAUAUAUAAGAAACUACACAUGAUAUAAAUAAUAUUACAUCCCAUUAUAAUUAAGAUGUAGAAUAUUAUAUUUAACAAACUACACGUGAUAAAAACAAUAUUACAUACCAUAAAGUAUAUUACAUGAAUCAUUUUUGUUUGUGAAAAGUAAAGUUCUACAUAAGAUCAACUUACUUUUGGUUUUUAACCUUUUAAAAAAGGUUAUAAUUAUUUUUUUAACUAAAAUCAUAUUUUUUGGAUGAGAGAAAAAUUAAGAGAGGAAAAGUAUUUUUUCUUUUAAAUUUCCCUUACCAAUUGUAUUUUUUUUUAUAUCUAAGAAAAGGUAAGUCUUAUGAUAGUGAUGUUAGUAAUGACUUCCAGCAAAGUUCGAAUAUGAGAAAUGCAUUUAAUAUUAAGGACUUGGAUCAAUAAACAAGAUUUUAGAAAUAAAAAUUCAUCGAGAUAGAAAAGAUAGAAAUGUUUUACUUUCUUAGAAUUAAAUAUUAAUGGUAAGUAAAACAAUACUCACCUACGAGCACAAUGCUUAAAAAAAUCUAAGAAAGUGUUGAAGGAACCCAAGAGAACAACAUGGUACUCAUUGAGAAAAUAUUGUUAGAGUCUAAGGUGUUCAAUAAACGCAAUUGAUGGUGGAAGUGAGAAACAACCAAGGUACAAAAAGACAAUCGAGACUCUUUAUGCUAUGUGUGAAAGAACCUACUACAACAACGUUAAUUGAGGUUAACAAUUCAUACAAUUAUAAACUUGUACCUGACUCUGCUAUUAAUAAUAGAAAUAGACUAUUUUUGGUUACGAAAUGGAAGUGUAGAGGCUAUUAGGUUAUGCGAAUUGGGUUAGGAAAUCAAAAUUACAUUUACAGAGUAGGAUGAAAAUAUUUUAAAGAUGAUUGAGAAAACAAAGGAAAGAGAAUGCAAAACGAAAAUAUUAAAGGAAGAGAAAAGACAAUCCAAUUAAUGAAGAUAAUAUGUUUAAACAUUAUAGGAGAAUUGAUUAAUAAGGAGGAGGUUGGGGUAGUGUUCUUACAAGAAACCAAAUUAGAAAUAGUCAAUAAAGAAAGAUGCUACAAUAUAAGAAACAAUGAUACAGAAUGGGAACAUUUUGUAGUUGUAAAUGGGGUACAUGAAAUUUUAAUUAAGUGGCAUAAGAAUACUUUCAUAUGUGACAUGUUGGGUAUAAAGCCAGAUCAAUUGGGUUGGGCUGACUAGACACCAUGUUUAGUGAGUGAGCUUAAUCAUUGUGUCCCUUUUAUAAUCUAUAUUUAAAGAGAUCAUUGUACUUGUAAUUGGUGUACAACCAGACAGAAAUGAAAACCUAAUAGUUGUCGGUGUGGGUGUAGGUUGCAGUUGGCGACCGAACCACGUUAAAUCUUGUAUUGUUUAUUUUCUGCAGUUGAUUCGUGAUUAUGUGUGUUGCUUCUGCUUGCGUUUUUUCCCAUCAAGUGGUAUCAAGAGCUUUGGUUCGUUUACACACUAGAGAUCCGAUCAGCAGAAAUUAAUCGACGAGACGUGAAAAUUGCGGCUGCAGUAGCGUCCUAAAGCUAGGGUUUCACAAAGGCGAGAUUAACGUUCCAAAGUUAGGGUUUCGCAAGGGUUGAAGUAGCGUCUCAAAGCUAGGGUUUCACAAAGGCGACAACAACGUCCCAAAGCUAGGGUUUCAUAGGCGCAAUAGCGUCCCAAAGUUAGGGUUUCGCAGAGGCGACAACAACAUUCCUAAGCUAGGGUUUCACAGGGACUGCAACGUUCCUAAGCUAGGGUUUCGCAAGGGCUGCAGCGACGUCCCAAAGUUAGGGUUUCACGGUGGCCCAGGAUUCGCGACAGCCUAGACCUGCGACUCGCGGCAGGUGUGCAAUGGUGUGGAUCGCUACAAGAGUGGUGGCGGCUCGUGACGUUGUGCAGAUGGCUUGCUCGUAGUAGGGUCGUGUCCAGGCAAUGCGGUGGAGUGUGCUAAUGUGACGACAGAUCGCGUUUCGCGGCGAACAGGUGCAGGUGCUUAUGGUGAGCGAGACGACACGAAGGUGCAGUGCGAUGGCAGUGACGGAAGACGCAGGGUGGCACGUACAUUUUUCUGCUGGUGCAGCAGUGACGGUGCGGUGCUAGGCGCGGGUGUGGCUGGUUUUUGCUGCGGCACGAAGUUAAGACAAUUCAGUUACUGAACACAUUAAUAAAAUGAAUUCGAUCUUAGCCAAACUUAUGUCAGUGGGCAUUAAGUUCGAUGAUGAAGUUCAAGCUUUACUACUGCUAUUGUCUUUGCCUGACAGUUGGUCCGGAAUGGUUACAACAGUUACCAGUUCAGUAGGAUCCGAUGGAUUCACUUUUGAGAAGAUUUGUGAUCUCAUUCUUGGCGAGGAUGUCCGAAGAAGGAGUUUUGGGGAAUUAGCUAGUGAAUCACUAUAUGUCAUCAGAGGUAAGAAAAAUAUCAAAGAUAGUGGGAGCAAGAACAAAAAAAGGAGUCAGUCAAAGACUCGGGAUUGCUCAAGUGUAACAUGUUGGAACUGCAAGGAGGUGAGGCAUUUCAGGAAUCAAUGCCCAAAUGAUAAAUAAGUCAACAUUGCAGAAGACUUCGUGGACGAGGACCUUUUAGCUUGUUGUGCGGAUUGAAGUGUGGAUUUCUAGGUCAUGGAUUCUGAAGCAUUGCAAAAUCUAGUUAUUGGAGACUUUGGAAAGGUAAGACUAGCAGACAACAAAACUCUUGAUGUUACGGGCAUGGGUGACAUAAUGUUGAAGACACUAGUUCGUUUCUAGACUUUGAAGGAUGUCAGAGUUGUUCUAAGCUUGACGAAAAGUUUGAUUUCUGUUAGGCAAAUGGACGAACAGGGACAUGAAGUGAAGUUCGAAAAUCAGCAGUGGAAGGUCGUCAAGGGAAAUCUUGUCAUAGCCUGCAGAAGAAAGAGAGGUUCGUUGUAUAUGGUCGGAUUACCUUCUAAGGGAGUGACCAUCCCAGUUCAGAAGAUAAACAAAGUUUGGUUCACAAAAUCUCGUGGGCAGAAGAGGGUCGUCUUUACAAGAGAGAAACCCAGAGCCACAGGUCAGAUUCAGGAUGAACGAGCAUGGAAAGGUUCAGGUAGACCAGUCAGAGGUACUUAUGGUAGUGGGAGCACGGGUCGUGCUUCAGUAGAGGUUCCUAGACGACAGUGGGUUAGUGAUUGACGUGUUGAAACUUAGGGGAGUUUUAACGAAGUCUUCUAAAUGAUUAAGAAAGUUGGUGGCAACUAGAGGUGGAACAUUGAAUUUCGUCGACAGAUUACAAAAGUACAUGUACACAGUUGAAGCGCAGGUGAACAUUGUUUCGUGACUUCAAGUGGGAGAUUGUUAGGUAUGAAGUCAAAACCAAUUGGGUUGGGCUGACUAUACAUCAUGUUUAGUGAGUGGGCUUAAUCAUUGUACACAGUUGAAGCGCAGGUGAACAUUGUUCCGUGGCUUCAAGUGGGAGAUUGUUGGGUAUGAAGCCAAGACCAAUUGGGUUGGGCUGACUAGACACCAUGUUUAAUGAGUGGGCUUAAUCACUGUAUCCAUUUUAUAAUCUCUAUUUAAAGAGAUCAUUGUACUUGUAAUUGGUGUGCAAUAGGACAGAAAUGAAAACCUAAUAGUUGUCUGUGUGGAUGUAGGUUGCAGUUGGCGACCGAACCACAUUAAAUCCUGUGUUAUUUAUUUUCUGCAGUUGAUUCGUGAUUAUAUGUGUUGCUUCCAUGUGAUUUUUUCCCAUUAAAACAUUGGUUAGAAAUACAAGUUUUUUUAGGAGUUAAAGAAAGCUAGAAAAAGAAUAAUAGGUCAAUAGUAAUAGUGAAUGUGUACUCCCUUGUAACUAUAGUGAUAAGAUAGUAAUGUUGGAUGAAAUAGCAAGAUUAAGAUAGGAAGAAGAAUGCAAAAUCUAGUGUGUAUUGGAGAAUUUUGACGGAAUAUGAAAUUUAGAUGAAAGAAGAGGUAUAAAUCAAGAUGGUAGAGGUUAGAGGGAUACAAUAGAAAUUAAUGAAUUUAUAGAAAACACUGAAAUCAUGGAUAGUAGUUAGAAAAUUUACUUCGUAUCCAAAUGGAAUUGCAAAAAGUAGGUUUCACAAAAUUUUAUUCAGGAGAGCGUUAGAUCAUUGUGUUAUGGUGUUAAAUUCCAUACAAAUAUAUUGGGAUUUGAAUCCAUGACCUUGUAAUGUAUGGAUGCACUAGUAAAGAGUCCACGAAAGAAUAGCGGUGUUAGUGGAUGUGGUAUGGUCACUAAAAUAAACAUACAAUCGAGGGUCAAAAUCCAUAAAAAAGACCAAAAUUUCAUCAAUAAUAUGGUUGUCAGUAAAUUUACCAGCAGAAAAAGUUCUGUCAAUAAUUAUUAAUAUUAUUAAUUAUUAUUUUAAAAAUAAUAUUUAUCUUUAACAAAUUAUAUUAUUAUUAUUAUUUCUAAUUAUAUUAGCACAUUAUUAUUUUGUUGCAAGUGGGACUUAAAACUGAGGAUUAGUGGUAGGAGAGUCUCUAACCACUUGAAUAAAGUGAUGUCAUUGUAAUAUUUUGAUUUUUAUUAUGUUAUUAAUAAUAAUAAUAAUAUUAAAAAUAAUAAUAAUAAUAUUAUUAUUAUGAAUAUUAUUGUAAUUAUUAUUAUUAAUAUAUUAUAAUUAUUGUAGUCAUUAUUAAUAUUAAUAUUGUUAGUAUUAUAAUUACAAAUAUAAAACUAAUAAUAAUAGUGGUAAUAAUUACAAUAAUAAUAAUAUUAUUAAUAAUAAAAUUACUAAUAAUAUUAAUACUAACAUUAUUAUUAAUCUUAAUAUUAAUAAAAUUAAUAAUAUUUAAUAAUUACAAUAAUAAUAAUAAUAAAAUAUUAAUAAUUAUAAUAUUAAUAUUAAUAAUAUGAAUAAUAAUUAUAGUAAUAAUUCUAAAUGUUACUAUUACUAAAAUUCACAAUAAUUUCAAUAAUUAUAAUAAUUUGAUAUUAUUACUAACACUACAAGAAAAUCAUGAAAUAGAAAUCAAUUUUAGAAACAAAAAAUAAUUAGUUGCUAUAGUGACUAAAUUAGAGACCAUUUUAGGGACUAAAUAAUUUUUUGGUUUCUAAAUUAGUUUCUAUUAUUGUUAAAUGGUUUUUAAAUUGGUAUCUAAUUAGUAACCAACUUUUUUGCUACCAAAUUUAAAAUCUAAAUAAUUGGUAGUUAGAAUUUUGGUUGCUAAUUAGAUACCAAUUUAGAAACUAUUUAAAUAUAAUAGAAACUAAUUUAGAAAUCAUUUUUUUUAGUUUCUAAAAUGGUCUAUAAUUUAGUUACUAUUGCAACUACUUAUUUUAGUCUCUAAAAAGGUUUCUAAUUUAGUUACUAUUGCAACUAAUUAUUUUAAUCUCUAAAAAUUGGUUUCUAUUUGAUGAUUUUCUUGUAGUGUAAAUUCAAUAUUAGGCUAAGUAACAUUCUCUUCUAUUUCUAUUAGUGAUAAUAUAGUCCUAACAAGUGAGUUCACAUAACUAGAAAUUAAGAAAGCAAUAGACAGUGUAAGAGUGAUUAAAUUUUGGGCAAUGGCUAUAAAAUUGGCUUUACAAAGAAAUUAUGGGAGGUUGUAAAAGUAAAAAUCAUACCAUCUACCCAUUCUUUCAAACUCCUUAGUUGGGUGUAUGUAUAAGAUAAUAUGUAAAGUGUUGUCUAGUAGGUUAAAACAUAUCUAUCUAAGAUGAUUGAGAGCUACUAAUCAACAUUCAUGAUGAAGUAUUUGAUUAAAGAAAACAAGUAAAAUAGAUGCAAUGAUGACGAAUGAAUGGAAAGAGGAGGAUGGGGAAUUUUACAAUGUAAAUUACAAAAAGUUAUAACAUAUUUGUAAGAAGAAAGACUCUAACAUGUUUAAUCUUUUCUAGAAGGUGAAGAUGCUACCCUCAAUACAACAUUUUGCAUGGAAGGUAAUAAAUAUUAAAUCGUGUAGCAACAAAACAAAAGAAAAUUGGAGGAGUAAGGGAGUAAUGAUAGAUAAUGUUUUUUGCCCUAUGUGCAUAUUAAUGGAGCAAUUCGUUAACCAUUUAUUCUUCAGAUGUAACAUUGUACGUUGUGUGAAAUAUGUGCAACAACUAGGUUGGAGUAAGUACUCUUAUCACUACAAAAAAAAAUCAGUAUUAUUUAUGCAUUUUUACCCAUGAAUCUGAACCCGUAGGUAAAUUCAACAUUAUCUACAUAUAUUACCCAUGGAUAUUACUCACAGAUUCUUAGUCUGUAGGUAAAUUCAACAUUACUUACUAAUUAUUACCCACAAAUCUUAUUACCUACCAACUUUUACCUACGGAUCUCUAUUACCUACCAACUAUUAUCAUAAUAAUUACAUACAUAAAUUAAAAAUAUUAAUAUAAUAUGAAGCAUUAUAAAAUCAUAAUUAAUAUUCAUAAAUAAUAAUAACCAUAACUAAUUUAUACAUAUUUUUAAUAUUAUAAAAUUAAUAAUAUUAAUAAUAUUAAUAAUAUUAACAAUAUUUAAUAAUAUUAACAAUAUUUAAUAAUAUUUAACAAUAUUAAUAAUAUUAAUAAUAUUAAUAAUAUUAACAAUAUUAACAAUAUUAAUAAUAUUUAACAAUAUUAAUAAUGUUAAUAAUAUUUAACAAUAUUAAUAAUGUUAAUAAUAUUAAUAAUAUUAAUAAUAUUAAUAAUAUUUAACAAUAUUUAACAAUAUUAAUAAUAUUUAACAAUAUUUAAUAAUAUUAACAAUAUUAAUAAUAUUAACAAUAUUUAACAAUAUUAAUAAUAUUAAAAAUAUUUAACAAUAUUAAUAAUAUUAAAAAUAUUUAACAAUAUUAAUAAUAUUAAUAAUAUUUAACGAUAUUAAUAAUAUUUAACGAUAUUAAUAAUAUUUAACGAUAUUAAUUAUAUUUAACAAUAUUAAUAAUAUUUAAUAAAUGAUAUUAAAUAUAUGAAUAAUGUUAUUAAUUUUUAUUUUAUUAAUUAUUUUAAUAUUGAUAAUCAUACUCAUAAAUAUAAUAAUAAUCAUAACAUGAUAACAAAACUUGACUGGUGGAAUGGUUAAAUCUUCUAUGAAUAUUUUUUCAAGGAACUUGAAAUCACCUGCACCUGCAGUUUAGUUCUAACAUUAAUUAUAACAUUUAUUAUUUAAAAUUUUAAUUAAUUGGGAGAUAUUAGUGUAUAUAUGCCCAACAACUUGCAUAAUAAUUUUCUUUCCCUCAAAGUUGUCACUCUUCCAUUGAAUCAUUGUUGUCAAGUUAAUUAUUUUUUUAUUUUUUAUUUAUUUUUAUUUAUUUUUUCCUGACCAAUUCGCCCCGCUCCAUCGCUGACCCGCGCGGAUCGUGGAUUAUACGGGACGGGCUAAUGUGGAUUAGCGGAUUGAAAACGUCAAUCCGCCCUGCAUUUUUUGCCGUAGACCGACCCGUAUAACCCGUUCCACUUUGUCACCCCUAAAUGGAGUCUAGACCUAAAUGGAGUAUAGUGAUCAUGCAUUCUUAUAGGAGGAACAGUAAAUUGAUUAUCUGAGUUUGAUAAUGUUAUAAUUUUGUCUAGUACAAAAAUUGAAAACAUGCGAACUAUCCAAACAUAGGUCACUAACCAAAGAACUAAAACAUAAACAACAAAAAGAUUAUUUUAUUCUGAUAGUCAAAAUCCAUUACACAUAACAAUAAAUCUGGUCUUUUAUUUCAAAACAAAACACAUAGUUAUGCAUCGUUCGAUACUAUUAUUUUCUAUUUAGAUUUAUAAACAAAUAUUAUAAUUUUAUUUCUUUCACUAAAGUAACAUUAUUAUUUUUUAUUCGAGAUUUGGGAUGAAAAAGAAAUAAGAUUGAAUGGUUUGUUAUACAUACCCGGUGGUAAUAUGCUUCCCUGGGAAGUCAACUGCUUGAGACAAGGCUGACCUCCAAGCCUGCAUCUGUGAUUCUUUUGCAAUGUCAUUUUCAUGUGCCUUCAUGUGUUUUCCGAAGCUAUUUCUCUCGUGCCGUAUAUCUGAGGGAUCUACAUGGUAAAACACUGGGUAAACAAGCUGCUUCUUCUCCUUCAUUUUGCUUCGUUCUAUGAUCCUAACAAGUUCAUCCAGACACCAUCUGGAAGAUGCAUAGUUCUCAGAAAACACAACGAUGAAAAUCUUAGAUUCUUCAAUGGCCUUCGACAGAUCAGGUGGAAGACUUUCCCCUGUCCUCAUAUUCUUAUCAUCAUUGAAACUUUUUAUUCCCUUCCCAUCUAACUCUCUACGCAGAUGCCCUAUAAAAUUGUUCCUUGUAUCUUCUCCUCUAAAACUGAUGAACACAUCAUAGGUGAAACCAAGACGCUCUUCUUCCUCACCAUGUUCUCCCAUGCUACAAACACACCAAAACUACACUAUGGAUUCUCAACUACUUUCAUCAAUUUAGUGUGUUCUGAUUAAAUACACUUUCUUUCGCGGAUACACGCUUUCAUGUAUCAGUGAAUUAAGCUUCUUAAUUAUAGGGGUUGACCAAGAAGAUGAAGAACAUGGGAUAUAAUUAUUACAACUACCAAACAUGAUGCCUCGAUCUUGAAAAUAAAGAUGAUGGGAACACAAGUAAUUCACGUGGUGCAUAUUUAAUGUGGUUUAUAUUGUACAGAAUUGGAUUCCUGUGUAUAAAAAAAUAUAGCGUUCAUAUUUAUGUGUAUUUAAUUAAAUUUAUAAUAUUGUUUUUCUAUUUUAUAAUAUUGGAUUCCCUUGUAUAAAAAUGUUUUCUUUUACGUUUUUUCGGUUUUUUUUUUCUGGUCAAAGUUGCAAACUUUAAUUAUCUCUGUCAUUCUUUCAUUUCUUUUGCCAAAAUGCUUUCUCUUGCAUCUUUUUCAUUUUUUUAUUUUUGGUUCUCUGUUUUUGUUAUUCUUUGGCGUUUGUCAAAAUAUUUUCUCUUACGUUUUCCCCAUUUUUUUUCUUAUGAUUCUUUGUUUUUUUUUUUUUAAUUUUCAUUGUUCUACGCAAACUUUGAUCAUUCUAUGCCAUCCUUUAUUUUUUGUUUGUGAAUUAUUACUGAAAAUUGUAGGUAAGCUGUAUUUUGGUGAUACGAACAAGAUUAAAUGUAAUCAAUAUUUUGUUGAUCAUAAGCAAAUGUUGUUCAAUGAAUAUUUGUUAUUAUGUUAAUUUUGAUGUAUUUUGUUAAUUAUGUUACUAAUGUCGAGUUAUUUAUAAUUUUAUUCGUUUUCUCCAUAAAAAUUUAAAAAAUGUAUUUAUACUAACUGUUGGUGUAACAUCCCUAAAUUUACCCAUAUAUAUAUAUAUAUAUAUAUAUAUAAUAAAAUAAUAGUAAAACAAACAAUAUUUAAUUAACAAAUAAACAUAUACUACUUGUUGAUAUUUGUAUCUCAAAAAUAUAUACAUCAAAAGUUUAAAAACAAAACACAGCAAAGCAUUCAAUUUAAAUCUAUCUAAUCCUCCUUCUGCUCACUGAGGAGCUCUAUUACCUACAACUUCAUCUGCUCCCGUGUAAAUUAACACGAUCAUCACAGAUUAAAGAAAACAAAAACAAACAAAUAACAUGGUAAGCUAGUUAUAUAAAACAAAAUUCUAUAAAAUUUCAAUUUGAAAUUUAUAAAACAUAAAUCAUCAAGUCUCGUACAAAUUCUCAAAUCAUCAAGUGUCUAUUAAAAUUCAACAUUCAUCUUUCAUAUGUCAGACUUCCACUGACUAAUAUAACAUAGACACUUGAUUCUACUUCUGAAAGACUCGUGUAUUGAAAUUAGCAUCCAGAGACCUGCACCUGUCAUACUACUGCUGUGAAAUCCACACAGUCAUGCGCAUAAUUAUCUCAAUAUCUCAUCCACUCAUAUGACAGGGUAAAUUCAUAUGACCUGAAAGAUCAGGUUCUAUUUCAAACCCCAGACAUAAUCAUAUGAACCUCCAUCGACUCUCACCAACUGAAUAACUUCAUCUAUGUUAUUCCAUUAUAUCAGUAGAGUCAGGAUUGUCUAAUUCACAGAUACUCACAAAUCAAUACACCCUAACAGCAAUCUCAACACGGUAUUUUCUUUCCUGAAAAUACUAUGUCUUGAUCUUACUUUCACAUCAAUGCACACUUCAUUUAACACAUCAAUACACCAUACAAUCAUAACAUAUAAUUUAACUUUCUAAUAAUCCAAAUAUAUCCAAGAAGUUAUUUAAUAAUAGUAAUCCAAAAUAAACUAUGCUAAAAUAAUAAUAAUAGUAAUAUCCAUAUAUGUAUACAAAAUUUUGAAUUGAUCGAAAAUAUUUUAGGUUUAUCUAAAUGACACCAGAGAGCACCAAAAAAUUUGGAUUGAUCGAAAAUAUUUUUAGGUUGAUCGAAAUGACACCAGAGAGCACCAGAAAUUUUAGAUUGAUCGAAAAUAUUUUUAGGUUGAUCGAAAUGACACCAGAGAGCACCAGAAAAUUUGAAUUGAUCGAAAAUAUUUUUGGUUGAUCUAAAUGACACCAGAGAGCACCAGAAAUUUUAGAUUGAUCGAAAAUAUUUUUAGGUUGAUCGAAAUGACACCAGAGAGCACAAGAAAUUUUAGAUUGAUCGAAAAUAUUUUUAGGUUGAUCGAAAUGACACCAGAGAGCACCAGAAAUUUUAGAUUGAUCGAAAAUAUUUUUAGGUUGAUCGAAAUGACACCUGAGAGCACCAAAAUUACAAAGUCCAUGCUAUAGCUGAAAAUUACUCUAAAUCAACUUCAAGCAACCAAAAAUCAACAACAUUAUAAUUUUAUAACAACAAUCAUAUCAAAUUUUACAUUCAAAUCUCAGUCAAUUACUAAUAUACUUAAAUCAAACAACCUUGGAAGAAAGUUUGAGACUGGUGACCACAUCACCCUCACAUCCAGAUCUUCUAGCCUAGUGUUCUAUUGGAAAUUAAGGCUAGCUUCCCUUACCUGAAUUUUAGUAGAUAUACACUAAGAGCUCCAAAACCACCAAGAACUCAAAGGUAACUUAACCUGCACCACAAAGUCCAAAUAAAAAAUCUAACUAUAUUACUAAGACCCUGAGCUAACAGAGAUUAACCUUGAAGCUAAAAGGGUCACAUGCAAAGCAAGACAAAAACAACCUGACAAGUUCAAAAUUUGACUCAAAGAGAAGAGCAAAAAUGAACUUACUCUAUCAGAGAUUCUGAUCGGGCAGUCUUGUAGUACUCACUGCCAGGAGUCUGAUGGUGGACUCUGAUCGUCAAACCGAUGAACGAGGAAGUCAGAAUCUUAGAGAAGGGAGAGAAAAAGAAAAGAACUUUCUAGAGAGAUGGUGGUUCUUUUUAAAAUGAAACCUGAAUAACUGAAUUUCUAUUUAUAUUCCCUUUUCAUUUUAGAUAAAAAAAUAUUCAGGAGUCAUUUAAAAUAUACCACUUCUACUCUAAAGUAAUUUUCUAGAUCCUUACAUUCUCCCCAACAAGAAAAAUUUUCGUCCCCGAAAAUUGACUUACCAGAAAAGAGAUAGGGAUAACUUUCCCUAAUGGUUUCUUCUAAUUCCCAAGUGGAAUCACCAGAUAUAUCAUCCCACACCACCUUCACCAUACUGAUGGUCUUGCCCCUGAGUUGUUUACUCUUUUGAUCUUCAAUCCUAAUUGGUUUUGCUUCAAAAGACAAGUUAUCCUUGAUUUGCACAUUAUCCACUUCCAACACGUGACUAGGAUCUGGAAUAUACUUUCUUAGUUGUGAUACAUGAAAUACAUUGUGCAGGUUUGCUAAUUGAGGAGGUAGAGCAAUCUCAUAAGCCACUGGACCUAUCUUCCUUAAGACUUGAUAUGGUCCAAAAAACUUAGGAGAUAACUUAUUUGAUCUGAUAGCUCGUCCUACACCCUUGGUUGGUGUCACUCUCAUGAACACUUGGUCUCCAGCUGCAAACUCCAAAGGUUUUCUCCUCUUAUCUGCAUAGGAUUUCUGCCUACUUUGAUAAGCUUUCAAUCUGUCUUGUAUCUGCUUCACUUUCUCAGUGGUCUGUUGAAUUAACUCUGGCCCAACCAAAACUGUUUCACCAUCCUGAUACCAACAUAAAGGAGUUCUGCACUUCCUCCCAUAUAGAGCUUCAUAUGGUGUCAUCCCAAUACUGGCAUGAUAACUAUUAUUAUAAGUGAACUCCACUAGAGGUAACAUCUCAUCCCAACUUCCCAGAUGAUCCAAAAUACAUGUCCUCAACAGAUCUUCUAAAGACUGGAUCGUCCUCUCAGACUGUCCAUCUGUUUGAGGGUGAUAUGCAGAGCUCAUUCUCAACCUAGUUCCCAAAGAGUCUUGUAGAGUUUGCCAAAACCGUGAAGUAAACCUGGGAUCUCUAUCCGAAACAAUACUGGAAGGCACUCCAAGCAAUCUCACAAUCUCUUUGAUGUACAACUGUUCCAACUUGGCCAUAGAUAUCCUUAAAUUAACUAGAAGAAAGUGAACACUCUUUGUCAGUCGAUCAACUAUUACCCAGACUGCAUCAUGACCCCUUACUGAUCUUGGUAAGUGAGUAACAAAAUCCAUAGCAAUGUUGUCCCAUUUCCACUCAGGAAUAUCCAACUGCUGUAACAAACCACCAGGUCUCUGAUGUUCUACUUUUUCCUUCUGACAUGUCAAACAUGUACCAACAUACUGAGCUAUUUCUUUCUUCAUGCCUGACCACCAAAAGGACUCUUUCAAAUCUUGGUACAUCUUUCAUACCGGGAUGUAGACUAAGAUGACUCUUAUGACCCUCUUCUAGGAUCAUUCUCUUCAGCUCUUCAUUUUCAGGUAUGCAAAUCCUGCCAUUAAAUCUCAAGAUCUCAUCUUCUCCCAUCACAAAGUCCUUAACUUGAUUUGUACCUAGUAACUCCACAGUACGCUUCAGACUAGGAUCCUCUAACUGUUUUUCCUUUAUUAUUCCAAGGAAAUCAUUAGUUAUAGUUAACUUACUACAACUAAUAUGAUUAAUAUGAAAUUUCACUCCCAAAUUUAGAUCCUUGAACUGCUCAAUCAACUUCUGCUCUUCAAUCAUCAUAGCUGACACCUGUACUGACUUUCUACUCAAAGCAUCUGCAACUACAUUAGCCUUCCCUGGAUGGUACAUCAAUUGAAAAUCAUAAUCCUUCAGAAACUCCAUCCAUCUUCUUUGUCUCAUAUUCAACUCUUUCUGAUCAAACAAAUAUUUUAAACUUUUAUGGUCACUGAACACCUGAAAUUGAGCUCCAUACAAAUAAUGCCUCCAAAUCUUCAAAGCAACACUACUGCUGCCAAUUCUAAGUCAUGAGUAGGAUAAUUUCUCUCAUGAACUUUGAGUUGCCUUGAAGCAUAUGCAACUGCUCUCUUCUCUUGCGUUAAGACACAACCUAAACCCUGAUAGGAAGCAUCACAGUAAACCUCAAAAGGUUUUCUUGUAUCAGGAAUCACUAACACCGGAGCACUAGUUAAUAUUUUCUUCAGCUCUAUAAAACUCUACUCACAUCUGUCAGUCCAAGCAAAAGGUUGAUCUUUGCGAGUUAAUUGAGUCAAAGGAGCUACUACCUUGGAAAAAUCUUCAAUGAACCUUCGAUAGUAUCCAGCUAAACCCACAAAACUUUUUAUCUCUGUGACUGUCCUAGGGUGUUCCCACUGAAGCACUGCCUCCACCUUGGCUGGAUCCACUGAGAUCCCCUGAGCUGAUAUUACAUGCCCUAAGAAAUUGACUUCCUCCAGCCAAAACUCACACUUAGAGAACUUAGCAUAUAAUUGUUUUUCCCUCAAAAUUUCCAACACUAUCUUCAGAUGUUCUUCAUGUUCUUCCUCGGUCCUUGAAUAAAUAAGUAUAUCGUCUAUAAAGACUACAACAAACUUGUCCAAGAAAUGACGGAAAAUUCUAUUCAUGUAAUCCAUGAAAAGAGCUGGAGCAUUUGUUACUCCAAACGACAUCACCACAUACUCAUAGUGUCCAUAACGAGACCUAAAAGCUGUCUUCUGAACAUCUUCAUCUUUUACUAAAAUCUGAUGGUAUCCAGAUCUCAGAUCAAUCUUUGAGAACACUGAGGCUCCAUGUAACUGAUCCAUUAAAUCAUCAAUUCUGGGCAGAGGAUACUUGUUUUUGAUGGUCAACUUAUUCAACUGCCUGUAAUCUACACACAACCGAGACCCUCCAUCCUUCUUUUUAACUAGAAGCACCGGAGCCCCCCAUGGAAAUACAUUGGGCUUGAUGAACUGUUUCUCCAAUAAGUCUUCAACUUGCUUCUUUAGUUCAAUUAAUUCAGCUGGAGCCAUUCUGUAAGGUCCCAUUGACACUGGUCCAGCUCCAGGUGCCAAAUGAAUAGAGAAUUCUACUUCUCUCUUGGGAGGUAAUCCAGGUAUUUCUUCUGGAAAUACAUCCAUGAAAUCCUUCACCACAUGUAUACUACUUAUUUCUUUAUCAUUCUUAACUCCCAUCUGAGUUAAGAUUACAAGCCACCUUGAUCCUUCUUUCAAUUCUGACCACACAUGUUGAGCAGACAUCACAUAUGACUCCUUGGAAUAUGAAAACACUAUUUUCUGUUGACUACAAUCUAUGAGAAUGUGAUUGACAGAUAGCCAAUCCAUUCCUAGAAUAACAUCCAGGUCUUGAAGAGGUAGACAAAUUAAAUUUAUUUUGAAAGUAUCGAUUUUACUUUCGGAUCUUUAGCUGGCACUCACUGACCCCGUCUUUGCUCUACAAAGUGUUGCGGUAGGUAAAGAACUCGAUCUUAAUAUAAAUUUCCAGCAGGCUCUCUGUGAUCUAUCUUGGACUGGAAAUGGAGAUUGAUUUGAAUAUGCAGUCUCUCUAGUGGCAUCUACCCUUUAUCCUUUGUUUGAAUUAUUAAGUAAGUAUAUGCAUUGAUUUGAUAAUUUAUUUUGAUGUAUGCAUUUAAAGGUCCUUUCUUGUGAAAAUAAAUGUUCUGGGAUUGGUUGGCGCAUUACAAAGGCUUGCUUGCAUUGCAUGAAAGCCGCUUUAGCAAGAAAGGCGGGAAUCUCUUCAAGGGUUGACAACUGUGAGAUAUGAACUAUUAUUGGACAUUCAAAACAAACUGUAGAGGUCAAUACUUUUCCUGAUGCAGGGGUAGAGACCAGCAGUUCAAACGACAACUCUUUCACUAAAAGACCCAACUCAUCUACACACAAAAGAAUGUGUCGCUCCUGAAUCAAACAAAACUUUCACACAUCUACCAGCUAUAUAACAUACACCUUGUACCAAAUUACCUGACUGAGAUGUUUCAGCUCCUGACAUAGAAAAAACUCUUCCAGUUGCUUGGGGUCUGCCACCCCCUCCUCUUCCUAGUUGUAAGUUACCUCCAAGAAUUAUCCUCCUCUUAUUAGGGCAAUCUUUUGAUAGAUGUUCUUCUUUAUGACAAGUAUAACAUUUUCUCUCUGAUAAAAGUUUAGGACAAUCUUUCUUCAAAUGGGGUCCAACACAGUGAUAACAUGUGGGUAUCUAUGGUGGUUGUUGCUGAAACUGCGGUGGAGCUGCUCCUGCCCUAUGUUGUGGAGGUCUAGCAUAAGGCAUGUGUUGUUGAUGUUGUACCUUGGCCUUUCCACUAGAAGACCCUCCUGGGUGUGAUCUCAUUACCCUGGAAUCCCCCUUUUCCAAGGUCUCCACCAUCUUCGCCUUCUCCACUAAGCUAGGAAACUCCCUGAUGCACAUAGGUGAUAUAAUCUUUUUCAACUCAUGUUUUAAACCUUCUUCAAACUUCCUACACCUCCAAGCCUCAGAGGUAGCUUGUAGAAUCUGGCUAGAUACUCAAACCUAGCAGCAUAAGCAUUAACUGACAUCUCUCCCUGUUCCAACUUGAGAAAUUCAGUUUCCUUUGCAAACCUUGCACUAUCUGGAAAAUAUUUCUCCAGAAACAUCACUCUAAAACACUCCCAGUCCAAAACUUCAGCUCUGACUUCCAUCAUUUGUUGAGCUCCCAUCCACCAGAACUCUACUUCUCCAGACAACAAAUAUGUAGCAAAAACCAAAUUCUUAUCCUCAGGGCAUGAGGUUGCCUUAAAGAUCUUCUCUAUCUCCCUUAUCCAUUGGUUUGCUUGAUCCGGAGUGGCAUUCCCACUGAACUUAGGUGGGUUAUGCCUCAUGAACUCUGUCAGUCCCAACUGCUCUUGAGACAAACUGACAUGGGAAGUUGUUGCAGCAAAUCUAGCAUUCUCCCAAUGAUGCAUUGUUGUCUGGUGAUUCUGAGCCAUUGCCAUAUUCUGUUGUUGGAUAGCUUUUGCCAUCAUCUCAAUAGCCCUGACAAUCUGGUUCAUCUCAGAAGAAGGUUGGGGAGGGGUAGGAGGUCUAGGAGCCAUUCUAUAAAACAAAGAAGAAAGAUUCAUGAUAAAUCUUUAGAAUUUUAAACUAUGUAGUUUUUACUAACAAACCAAUUAAAGCACACAAAAACAACCCCAUAACUCUUAGGUCUCCUAAGGUUCGAAAAGCUCUGAUACCAUAAUGUAACAUCCCUAAAUUUACCCAUAUAUAUAUAAUAAAAUAAUAGUAAAACAAGCAAUAUCUAAUUAACAAAUAAACAUAUACUACUUGCUGAUAUUUGUAUCUCAAAAAGAUAUCCCUCUUCAUAGGGAUUUAAUAUAUACAUCAAAAAGUUUAAAAACAAAACACAGCAAAGCAUUCAAUUUAAAUCUAUCUAAUCCUCCUCCUGCUCACUGAAGAGCUCUAUUACCUACAACUUCAUCUGCUCCCGUGUAAAUUAACAUGAUCAUCACAGAUUAAAGAAAACAAAAACAAACAAAUAACGGGUAAGCUAGCCAUAUAAAACAAAAUUCUAUAAAAUUUCAAUUUGAAAUUUAUAAAACAUAAAUCAACAAGUCUCAUACAAAUUCUCAAAUCAUCACGUGUCUAUUAAAAUUCAAUAUUCAUCUUUCAUAUGCCAGACUUCCACCGACUCAUAUAACAUAAACACUUGAUUCUACUUCCGGAAGACUCGUGUAUUGAAAUUAGCAUCCAGAGACCUGCACCUGUCAUAUUAUUGUUGUGAAAUCCACACAACCAUGCGCAUAAUUAUCUCAAUAUCUCAUCCACUCAUAUGAUAGGGUAAAAUCAUAUGAACCUCCAUCAACUCUCACCAACUGAAUAACUUCAUCUACGUGAUUACAUUAUAUCAGUAGAGUCAAGAUCGUCUCAUUCACAUGAUACUCACAAGUCAAUACACCCUAACAACAAUCUCAACACGGUAUUUUCUUCCCUGAAAAUACUAUGCCUUGAUCUUACUUUCACAUCAUUGCACACUUCAUUUAACACAUCAAUACACUAUGCAAUCAUAACAUAUAAUUUAACUUUCUAACAAUCCGAAUAUAUCCAAGAAGUUAUUUAAUAAUAGUAAUCCAAAAUAAACUAUGCUAAAAUAAUAAUAAUAGUAAUAUCCAUAUAUGUAUACAAAAUUUUGGAUUGAUCGAAAAUAUUUUAGGUUGAUCUUAAGGACACCAGAGAGCACCAGAAAAUUUGGAUUGAUCGAAAAUAUUUUAGGUUGAUCUAAAUGACACCAGAGAGCACCAGAAAAUUUGGAUUGAUCGAAAAUAUUUUUAGGUUGAUCGAAAUGACACCAGAGAGCACCAGAAAUUUUAGAUUGUUCGAAAAUAUUUUUAGGUUGAUCGAAAUGAUACCAGAGAGCACCAGAAUUACAAAGUCCAUGCUAUAGCUGAAAAUUACUCUAAAUCAACUUCAAGCAACCAAAAAUCAACAACAUUAUAAUUUUAUAACAGCAAUCAUAUCAAACUAGUGUAGGAAUCAAACUGAACAUAAAAAAAAAAAAACAAAUAUAAAUCAAACUUUGUAUAGAGGAAUCAAAAGUCUGCGUUGCAUUGAAUAUUGAAAUGAACAGUGAGGUUCCAAAAUAAUAGGGAUACACUGAUAUGCAAAAUAAAACAACUUUAUACUUAACCAGAAAAAAGCAAUAAAGCAAUACAAACUUGCAAUGUUUAUUACAAUAGUGUAUAAACUUCAGAAAAGCAUACGAAAACUCUAAAGAACUAUCUACAAAUUUUCUUUUCUAUAUAUCAUAGUUGUUAUAGGCAAGGUGAGGUGCUGCAUCAAAUGAAUUUUGAACAAGUCAACCAAGUGCUAAAGUUUCAGAAAAGAAUACGAAAACUCUCAAGAAUUGUCUACAAAUUUUCUUUUCUAUAUAUCACAGCUAUUGUAGGCAAGAUGAUGUGCUGCAUCAAAUGAAUUUUGAACAAGUCAGGCAAGUGUCAAAGCUGCCAAUACAAUGAAGUAUUCUGACCUAGAGAAAAAAGCAAUAGACUAGCAUCCACAUGUGAGUCUUUCCCGAAGUGUGUUCAAAUUGCUCUGAGACAUGGAAACCCAAAUCUGAAAAGUAUCAUACAAUAUGCAUUUUGAAACUCUACUAUACAAAAAUGUGCAAUCCAAGUUUUGCACAAUUAGUGUGAAAAUUCAAAUAAAAUUAUUUUCAGAAUAUGCAAAGAACAAAAUUUAACUACAAGUGUCAAUGGAGGAAUAAUUGAUAUCUUUAUUAUGAAUGGAUUAAUCUAUAACUUGGUUAUUGUGAAUCCAUUGAGUUUUAUUCUAUCAUUGUUUUUCUCUAUUUUGUACUACAUUGUAUUGGCAGCUUUGUAUAAUCAGAAUGAGAGUAGUGCACAGUGGACAUUGAGGUGCCAAAAAAAUCAAACAAAGAUUCAAAAAUUUCUACUUAAAUAAAAAUCAUAAAUAAAUAAAAUUUCUAAAUUAUUCAAAAUUCUAAAUAAAUACAAAUCAUAAAUUAUUUAAGGUCAUACGUAAAUAAAAAUCUCCAAAAAAAUAAAAUUCCAAAUUAUGAAAAAUCUUAAAAAAAUAUAAAUCUAAAUUAUUUAAUAUCCUACUUAAAUAAAAAAAUUACAAUAAAUAAAAUACCUAAAUUAUUCAAAAUUCUAAACCUAUGCAAAUCCUAAAUUAUUCAAUGUGAUACUUAAAUAAAAAUGGUAAUAAAUAAAAUUCCUAAGUUAUUAAAAUUUAUAAAUAAAUUCAAAUCCUAAAUUAUUUUACAUUGUACUUAAAUAAAAAUUUAAAAUAAAUAAAAUUCCUAUAUUAUUAAAGUUUGUAAUACAAGACCUAAAUUACUUAAUGUUCUAAUUAAAUAAAAAUAAAAAAUCAAUUAAAUUUUUAAAUUAUACAAAAUCUGAAACAAAUACAUAUCCUAAAUUAUUUAAUGUCCUACUUAAAUAAUAAUUCACAAUAAAUAGAAUUUCUAAAUUAUUCAAAAUUUUAAACAAAUACAAAUUUUAAAUUACUUCAUGUCCUACUUAAAUAAAGUAUCUAAAAUACUCAAUAAAUACAAAUUUUAAAUUAUUUAAUGUCCUACUUAAAUAAAAAUCUGAAAUAUAUAAAAUUUCUAAAUUAUUUAAAAUUCUAAAUAAACACAAAUACUUACUUAGUUUAUGUUAUACUUAAAUAAAAAUCUCAAAUAAAUAAAUUUUUUAACGUUUUCCAAAAAUCGUAAAUAAAUACAAAAUAAAUGAAAUUUAUAAAUUUUCAAAAUUAAAAAUAAAUAUAAGUCGAAAAAAAUUUAAUGUUAUUCUUAAAUAAAAAUUAAAAAUAAAUAAAAUUUCUAAAUUAUUUAAUGCCAUUCUUAAAUAAAAAAUUUCUAUGUUUUCAAAAUUCUAAAUAAGUACAAAUCUUAAAUUAUUGUAUUUCCUACUUAAAUAAUAAUCUAAAAUAAAUAAAACUUCUAAAAUUUUCAAAAUCCAAAAUAAAUACAAAAUUUAAAUUAUUUAAUAUUAUACUUAAAUAAAAAUCCAAAAUAAAUCAAAUUCCUAACUGAUUCAAAAUUGCUAAAAAAAUAGAAACCCUAAAUAUUUAAUGUCAUAAUUAACAUCCUUAAUUUUACCCAUAUAUAAUUAAAUAAAAGUAAAACAAGUAAUAUCUAAUUACAAAUAAACAUAUACUACUUUCUUAUAUGUGUAUCUCAAAAGAAAUAUCUCUUCAUAGGGAUUUAAUAUAUACAUCAAAAGUUUUAAUAACAAAACAAAGCAUUCAAAUAAAACUAUCUCAUCCUUCAGCGGCUCACUAAGGAGCUUUAUUACCUGCAAUCUCAUCUGCUCCCAUGUAAAACACGAUCAUCACAGAUAAAGAAACAACACAAACAAAUAAUAGGGUAAGCUAUCUAUAUAAAAAGUUUUGAUAUAAUUUAAAUUUCAAAUUUAUAAGCAUAGUUCAUCAAUUCUCAUAUGAUUUCUCAAACCAUCAGGUGUCUAUUACAUUCAUAAAAUUCAUCAUCUUUCAUAUGUUAGACUUCUACUGACUCACAACACAAAGACACUUGCGGAAGACUCGUGCGUUGACUUAGACUCAGAGAUCUGCACUUGUCAUACUAUCUCACUGUGAAAUCCACACAGCUAUGCGCAUAAAGAAUCUCAAUAUCAUAUCUCUUCUAGUAUGACAGGGUUAACUCAUAUAACAGGUCAAGUUAGUUAUCUUUCAAACAACUUACCCAUUCAUAUGAACCUCCUUCGACUCUCACCACCUAAAUAACUUCAUCUAUAUGAUUCCAUUAUCUCAGGAGAGUCAAGAUAUCUCCUUCUAGACGAUCCCUAGUCAAUGCACAUCCUAAACAAUCUUAACACGGUAUUUUCUUUCCUAAAAAUACUAUGUUUUGAUUAAAAUUCAUAUUCUAAACAUCACAAUCUCCAACAUCAAACAAUCAAAUCAUUCCAAAUUUUAGAAUUUCCAAAACACACAACAAUUCAUUUACUACUCAUAUAAAUGUCUUGAAUCAAAAGGGCUGCAAAGUGUAUCUAAAUAACAUCAAGUUUUACUACCCAAAAAGAGAGACAAUAAAAGGAGAAUGAAAGAAAAUUAUCUCUCAACUACAACUAUAUCCAAUAGUUCUCAACUUCUUCAAAUUUGCAUUAGCAAGAACUAAUUCCAACAUGUAUUGUAAUACUUUAAUAUUUAGAAUUAUUGCAAGAUUGUUACACCAAUUACAAAAGGAGAAAAGAAAAGUAUUAUCCAACAUUGUAUAACAUUUAUAGAAUGAAAGAAAAAAGCAUGAACAAUAAAUGUUCUUCUUUUUACUUUACAUAUACCUAGCACCACAUAUCCAACAUUAUUUAAUAAAAAGGAUAAGAAAGCCACAACAUGAAAAUUAAAGUUUGGUCACCAAUUGUUAAACCCAACAACUAAUUUAUCUCAAAAGCACCAGAAUUCAGAUUACAAUCAACAUAGCAAUUCUCUAAAUAAUCAACUCAUAGUUUACUUUAAAAAUUGUCACAAACAAUUUUUAGCUCAUAAACUGAAUCAUGACGAAAUAAUCAAAAUAUAUGCUCUGAAAUUGUCAAGAAAAAUCAUCACAAACAUUUUUCAAAUACAUUAUAUACAUUCUACACUUAUAUACAUUCUACACCGUCUACUAUAUCUAAAUUUUUCAUUUCAAUCUCAAACAAUUUCCAAUCUACACAAAAACAAGAGAUCGUGCAAGAAAAUUUGAAACUGGUGACCACGUCACCCCCACAUCCAGAUCUUCUAGCCUAGGGUUCUAUUUGGCAAUUUAAAACUAGCUUUCCUUACCUGAAUUUUGACUGAUGCUCGCUAGGAGCUCCAAAUCUACCAAAAGCCUAAAGGUAAUUUAACCUGCACCACAGAAUCCUGAUAAAAAUCUAACUAUAUAACUAGGACCUUUUGUUAACAAAAUUAACCCUCCUGAAGCUAAAAGAAUCAUAUGCAAAGCAUAAAUCUAAUAAGAUCAAAAUUAACUCAAAAGAAAAAGGGGCCAAGAAUGAACUUACUCUAUCUGAGAUUUUGAUCGAACAAUCUUAUAGGGUUCACUGCCAGGAGUCCAAUGGCAGACUCCGAUUGCCAAACUGAUAAGCGAGAAGGUUAGAAUCUUAGGGAGAAGGGAAAGAAAAGGAAAAAGAGGAACAAAACUGAACUUACUCUAUAAGAGAUUCUGAUCGGGCAGUCUUGUAGUCUUCGCUGCCAGGAGUCCAAUGGCAGACUCCGAUCGCCAAACUGAUAAGUGAGGAGAUCAGAAUCUUAGAUAGAAGGGAGAGAAAGGAAAAUUGGAACUUGUAGAGAGAUGGUGGUUAUUUUAAAAUGAAACCUGAAUAACCGAAUUUUCUAUUUGUUCCCGCCGGUUGACCUGGGUUGUCUUUAUGCGUGGCUUGUCCUCACGAGCUAGGGCACCUUCGUUCUGGUCCGUCUGUGAGUACCUGAAAAGAAGUGAACAAAAGGGGCGCCCUCGCGACCGUUUGCACUCCGACGAUCAAGUCAACUAGCGAGAAGCAUCAAAGGUGACGCACCUCCGUAUCGGAACACCGUAAACGAAUGCUCUGAAGGUGGUUAGAAAUAACUGAGUGGCUAAAACUGUGUUGCCCUAAUCGUUUUUCUGCACACAAUGGGUGCGCCGUCACAACAACUAGGGUUUGUGCUCUUGUGUAGACUGUGAGAAUUAGGUUAAAACUCAGAUCCUUUUCAAACGUCCCAAGGUCCCUUUUUAUACAUCUCUCGCAUUUAAAACGCGUUAAAGCGCAUUGAAAGCGUAUAAAAAUAUUCCUUGGAACGUUCGAAUCUUAACUGAAUUAACGCGUACCUUAGCGAACUUUUACAAAAGCCUUGAUGUUUUCAAUGCUUAUUGCCACGUGUUCUUCUGACUUAAUCGUGACUCUUCGUGGAGGGCCCUAUAGCGCCGUAACCCAAUUUAGGGUUAAUCCAUCGUGCAAACCCUCCUUUCUUGAAGUGCAUUUGGCGCAAGUGGGUGACUUUCUGGGUGCCAACUCAUGCGCCCCAACUUCUAGUCACUCGCCUUGGGAGUGUAUCUACCUUCCUCUCACACCAAGCACCUGGUUCACCCCUGGGCAUGACCCUCUCGUGGGUCGUAUCUAUCCCGGGGGUCUCCCUGAGGUGACGUGGGUACUUCACGAGUCAGGUUACUCCCUGCUGGUACCAGAACUAUGGCCUUGAAGCCACCUUUCUCUUCUCUUUGUAACUGCUCUGGGCCACACCUUAACCUGGCAAUGCUUCAACCUGGCGAUGCCUUCCUUAGGCGACGCCUCCUCUUGGCGACGCCUUACCCUGGUGACGCCUUCUCUUGGCAACUCCUUCUCCUGGCGACGCCUUCUCCUGGCGACGCCUUCUCCUGGCGACGCCUUCAGUGGUCAAUCUGUUGACUUCCCUUCUUUGGGGCCCUCGAGUGGUCCCACCAUAUGUUGACUUUGACUUUGGUCAACGCCCAAGGACGGGACGGUGCACUAUUUAUAUGUCAUUUUCAUUUUAAUAAUAAAAUAUUCAGGUAUCAUUUAAAAUAUACCACUUCUACUCUAAGGUUAUUUUCUAGAUCCUUACAUCAUACGUAAAUAAAAAUACAAAAUAAAUAAAAUUCUUAAAUUAUGUAAAAUCUUAAAUAAAUACUAAUCUAAAUCUAACAUAUUUAGUGUCUUACAUAAAUAAAAUAUGAAAUAAAUAAAUCUACAAAACAUAAGCGGGAUGGAAAAUUUUUUGUACGUUAAAUGACUUCAAAAAAAAGGUGAUAAAAUUGUUUUUGAAAUAGAGGUUUACAUACCCAGUCCUAAAUAAAUACAAAAUCUAAAUGAUUUAAUGUUUCACUCAAAUAAAAAUUUGAAAUAAGUUCAAUUCCUAAAUUUUUAAAAAUCCUAAAUAAAUACAAUCCUAAAUUAUUUAAUGUCAUACUUAAAUAAAAAAUCGUAAUAAAAAAUUUAUAAAUUGUUUAAAAUUCUAAACAAAUACAAAUACUAAAUUAUUAAAUGUCAUAUUUAAAUAAAAAUUUGUAAUAAAUAAAAUAUCUCAAUUAUUUAAAAUUAUAAAUAAAUACAAAUCUAAAUUAUUGAAUGUCAUACCUUCAUAAAAAAUUAUAUUAAAUAAAAAUCCUAAAUUAUUUAAAAUUGUAAAUAGUUACAAAUUCUAAAUUAUUGGAAUUAUUUCAAAUUUUAAACAAAUACAAAUUAUUUAAAAUUUUAAACAAAUAAAAAUCCUAAAUUAUUUAAUGUACUACUUAACUAAAAUAUCUGAAAUAAAUAAAAUUAUUUAAUUAUUUAAAAUAUUAAUAAAUAAUAAUUCUAAAUUAUUUAAUGUUCUACUUAAAUAAAAAUUUAAAAUAAAUUAAAAUUUUAAAAUAUUCAAAAUCCUAGGUAAAUCUUAACUUAUUUUAUGUCAUACAUAAAUAAAUUUUAAAUUUUUUUUGAAUAAAUAGUAAACCAGAAAUUAUUUUAUUUCUUACUUAAAUAAAAAUAUAAAAUAAAUAACAUUUCUAAGUUUUCAAAAUUCUAAAUAAAAAAAAUUCAAAAAUUUGUAAUAUCAUUCUUAAAUAAAAAUAAAAAAUCAAUAAAAUUUCUAAAUUAAUCAAAAUUUUAAAUGAAACCAUAUCUUAAAUUAUUUAAUAUCAUUCUUAAAUAAAAAUCUAAAAUUAAUAAAAAAAAUUAGUUUUCCAAAAGGCUAAAUAAAUAAAAAUCUAUACAAAAUAGGGAUAUAAUUUUGACAACUACUUCGAUGACCCGAUCUAGAAAAUAAAUAUGAUGGGAACAUAAAUAAUUCACGUGGUGCAUAUUUAAUGUGGUUUAAAUUGUACAGAAUUGGAUUGCUGUGUAUAUAAAAAAUAUAGCGUUCAUAUUCAUGUGUAUUGAAUUAAAUUUAUAAUAUUUUUUUUCUACUUUAUUAUUGAAAGUUAGGUAAAGAAUAGAAAUAUUAUAGAACGAGUUUAUUACGUUUCCCAAAAAGAGAGUAAAAUAUUGUGUAGAAAUUAAAGAUGCCUAAUAAGAGUUGAGGUAUUAUUUAUAAAUAAACAAUGAAAAAAUAAUGAUGCCUUCAUACUUCACCAGAUUCUUAACUGCCUUUUUAAUAGAUUCUACCUUCCUUAUUAUCAUUUCAUUUAAUACAGUUUCUUAAACGGAUACACGGUUUCAUGUCUCUGAAUUAUGCUUCUAAAUUAUAGGGGUUGACCAAGAAUAAGAAGAAGAUGGGGAUAUAAUAAUUACAACUACCAAACAUGAUGGCCCCAUCUAGAAAAUAAAAAUCUAAAAUAAAUAAAAUUUAUAAGUUUUUUAAAAUUCUAAAUUAAUAUAAAUUUUAAAAAUUUAAUGUCAUUCUUAAAAAAAUUUAUUAUUUAAUUGCAUUUUUAAAUAAUAAUAUAAAAAUUAAUUAAAUUUUUAAGUUUUUCAAAAUCUUAAAUUAUUUUAUUUCCUACUUAAAUAAUGAUUAAAAUAAAUAAAAGUGAUUACAUACGAAUUUUUGCGUAUUUAAUUCAGUAUAUAAAUAGACGUUACAUACUGAUUUUUUUUAUAUGUAAGCCAAAAGUGAUUAUAUAUGUUUUUAAUCAGUAUGUAAUUUUGACUUCACAAAGCGAGAAUAAUUACAUACGGAUUGUAUCCGUAUAUAAAGUAUUACAAACAAAAUAUUUUUAAUAAUUGUAAUAAUAAUAAUAUUGAUAUUAAUGGUAAUAUUGAUAUUAAUAUUUUUAUUAAUAUUAAUGAUAAACAACCGGUUGAAUUUUUGUUAAUCAAGUUAAACAAUUUUGUUUGAUUUCUUUCUUGAUUUCUGUAUCUGUGAUUCUGCAUUGAAGUUCAUUAUACUUUCAAAGUUUGCGAAAAUCUUUCAUAAACAAUUCAUCUCCCCCCUCUUAUUUAAUGCCAUAUAUUCUAAUAAAAACUUCCUCAACUUGAGAAGUAAAACCCACGGACCUAGUCCAGAAAAUGCCUCCCCUAUGAAAGUAGGAUUACAAUAUUUGUUUCUCUCACUCUAUGAGGAUAACACUUAAUCUCACCCAAGAAGAAUGGAAUACAAAGUCUCUUUAGCAUCCCACUCACCAUUAUGGUGGUUAUCUAUUCUCUCAUUUACACUUUAUCUCUUCUCCUUGCUUGUCUUUUUUCUUUCUCACAAGUUUCCUUUAUAUAGAGAAUGAGAGUAAGACUUCUUCAUAAAGAGAUAGUAGAUAAUUAAUGCUUAUCACAUUUUCAAGAGAGAGUUACAAAUUCAAGACUUUUGAAAUGACCAUCAUUGAAUAUAUUCAAUGGAUCAAUUACCAAUAUUCAUUGGUCGGGAUCUCCUAGUAAACUAAGAAGGGAUUCCCAACAUAAGGUUCAACAAAACCAUAUAAAUAAGAGCAAAAAUGAAAAAAGUCUAUGAAAUGUUUGAAAACAUCAGAAUACCAAUCACCUACCUAAGCCCCUAUUUGGAUUGGGGGGUGGCACUGUAGCCGCAAACGGAUGUGGGGUGCCACCCCCGUUUGGAUCUAGUCAUGGUUGAGGGUGUGGGUGAGGGUGAGGGGAAAGUUGGGCCAAAUGAGAGAGCAUUCAGAAGUGAAGAGAAAGGAGAGGGUGAGGGAGUGAGUGCCAAGUAGGAUGAGUGAAAUAUCAUUUGUGCCCUCACUAGAUUUUUGGAUGUAUGUGGGCAUUGUACGUGAAACAUGCAUGCACAUUUGUGAAGAGAAGCUUUUCAGCAACAAGCACAUGAGAUUCCUGACCAUUGUUCAGGAAUCUGUUUGACCAAGUUAAAAGCUCAAUGAAUGCAUAGGCAAGUUGGUGAGAGGGUGGAUGAGCGUAAUAAAGAGGUGCAACAAUAUAUAUGUGGUUCCCAAGCUCACAAACCUCACAAAGCAAAGGCAAUUUGGUUCUUCACAAAGCACAUACCUAGAGAGCUUGGAGAGGGUCGUGAGUGCGCUUGGUUCUUUGUUUGUAACCUCAGGUGAGCUUUGUGUGAGUUUAGUUUCAUUCUUAAUCGAUUAUCACUGAAAAUGAACGUAUGCCAUAAUCGAUUAUGUUGAAAAAAAUAGUUGAUAAUCAAUUAUGUUCAUGACAUAAUCGAUUAUCUGUAAAAAUUCCCGUGAGAUAAUCAAUUAUGGUCGUUUUUGCACUGGAAGCAUAAUCGAUUAUGUGCCAUAAACAUUUGGAUAAUCGAUUAUGUGCUAUUUUACACUGGGGUGAUAAUCGAUUAUGGUUCUAAUUUUCCAGAUUUAUGAUUUUAUGUUUUUUGAACUAAUUUUUGAAUGAUUUUUUUUUUCAGGUAAAGUUUGAUAAAUCUUAGACUUGCAUUGUGUUGUGGUUUUGUUCUGCUCUCUUGAGGUAUGUGUGUUUUUUUUUUUAAAUUGUGUUUGGAUGUUUAGUUUUAUUUUGAAUUUAAUUUGUUUAAAAUAUUUUAAAGUAGUUGUUAAUUAGUUUUUAAUUUUAGAUGUGAAUGUUUAGGAAAAUUGAUUAUCUAAAAUUGUAUAUUGUUAAUGUAAAAAUUUCAUGAAAUUUGAAUAUGUUAUUUUUGUGACAUGAAUUGAAUUGAAUUUAUAGAUUGAAAUUAGAGAUUUAAAUUUGUUAUUCUAAAAUAUUGUUUUUAAAAAGAUAAUAAAAUUUUUUGCAGUAAUUUAAAAACAGAAAAAUCAAAUAUACAGAAGAUUUUUUUUUUUAUUUUAACUUUGAAGCUGUUAAUAAAUAAAUUUUUUAUUUAAAUUUACAGAAUAGACUACCUUUUAGAAAUUAUUAUUUUUACAGAAUGUAAAUAUUAUUUUUAAUGUUAUUUUUUAAAACAAAUAUUUUAUUAAUUAAAAAAACAGAAAAAGAUUACAUAAUAAAUUAGAAUUUUUAAUAAUAUGUGUACAUAGUUAAUGCUAUUAUGAAAAAAUUAAAACAAAUAUUGUAGUAAUUAAAAAAAACAGAAAAAAUUACAUAAUAAAUUCGAUUUUUUAAUAAUAUUUGUAGAUAGUUAAUAUUUUUUUAACAUUUAAUGUUUUAUAAAAGAAAUAUUUAUUUAUUUGAAAUGAUUAUUUUUAUAGAAUGGAAAUACAAAUUUUGAAUGUUAUAUUUAUAAUUUUUUUCCAUUUUACAUAGACAUACCAUAAUGUUAUGAAAAUAUAUAUAAUUUAUUUCUCAUAAUUUACAUAAAUUGUUAAUAUUAUUAUUUAAAAAUUAAAUAUAAUAUUGUAGUAAUUUAAAUAAAACAGAAAAAGAUUACGUAAUAAAUUAAAAGUUUUACUAAUAUGUGUACAUAGUUAAUAUUUUUUGAACAUCAAAUUGUUUAUAAAAAAUAGAUUUAUUUAUUUGAUAUUAUUAUUUUUACAGAAUAGAAAUAGAAAUUUAGAAUUUUUUUUAUAUUUUUUAAAAUUAAAUUCUUUAUAAAUAAUACAUUUAUUUAUUUAUAGUUAAUAUUUUGACAUGAUGCAUUAAUUCAUAUUUGACAUGUUAUAAAUAAUAAAUGUUAACAGAAGUUUUUAUAGAAAUUAAUAAUGUUAUAGAAAGUUUUAUUGUUACAUACUGGAAAAUGUAAUUAAAAAAAUUAAUAAUGUUAUACAAUUUUUUAUUUUUUAUUGUUACAAAAUGUAAAUAUAAUUUAAAAUAUUUAAAAUAUUAUGGUACUAAAACCCUAAAUCAAAAAAGUUAAGAGAACAUAUAUUUAUUUCUUGAUUGAUUAAAUUAUAAUUUUGUUAGUCUAUAUUUAUUUUGUUAUAUUAGAUAAAUUAAAUGAUAGAGUCAUUUACAAUAGAAUGUUUAUUAUAAUUAUUUAAAAUUAGAUAUUAGGGUUACUGUAUUGGUGUAGUUUUACACUGAAACGGUAACUGCAUUCGAUAUGUUGUAUUGACACUUAUCCAUAUCCAUAAUCAUGGUUCUGAAUCAAAGUUCUACAUUUUGUGGAUAACAUUAUGAAUUCGGGUAGCCAUUACGACGAGGCAGAAAUGGUACAUUUUGAGGAAACGGUUGCAAUUUAUGAUGACCUUGUUGCGGCGAACAUGAAUUUAAUUUCACAAAUACAAGAACAAAUUAAAAAAAAUACUGAAGGUGCUUCUGUGAUGAUCCUUUGUAUGUUGGUUUUGGAUUGAAUUUGUUACGUACGGUGUGUACUACAAGGAACCGUAUUAGUGAGUUCCAACCACAAAAAGAGCGUCGCAGACAAGAAUUGAUGGAGUACUUGGUUCACACUGAACAAUGUCGUGAUAUUAUUCCCAUGGGACCAGAAGCUUUCCUUCAAUUAUGUCAAUGAAUACGAGGAACUGGACUUGUUAAAGAUGCAUAUCGAUCAACCGUGGAAGAACAAGUUGUGAACUUUCUACACAUUAUUGGGCAUAAUGUGAAGAAUCGAAGUGUGUCAUUCUUUUUUCAUCGGUCUGGAGAAACAGUUUCCCGUCACUUUCAUAAUGUUUUGAGUGCAAUAUUAAGGUUGGAGGGGGAAUUCUUAAUUCAACCAAAUGGAAUGGUUGUAGAAUCGCACAUCCUUAACAACAAUCGAUUUUACCCCUACUUUAAGGUUUGUUUAUGAUAAUAUUAUUUUAAAUCACGUAUCAUGUUUUAUUUAUUUUGUGUUUAAUAAAACUUAUGAAAUUUGGUUUACAUUAGCAUUGUUUGGGGGCAAUAGAUGAAACUCAUGUAUGUGUUAAGGUUUUACGUGCUGAUGCACCUCGUUUUCGAGGGAGAAAAGAUUGGCCAACUCAAAACAUAUUUGUAGUGUGUGACUUUAACAUGAAGUUCACAUAUGUCCUGGCCAGUUGGGAAGGAACAACCUUGGAUUCAAGGAUAUUAAAAGACGCUUUGGUACGAGACGAUCCUUUGGUUAUUUCAGAAGGUUAGUUUUAGGGGAUUGAGUGUGCAGAAGAAUAAAUAGGUUAUAGUAGUAUAUACUAACACAACUUUCCAAUAUUUUGUAGGAAAAUACUAUCUUGGUGAUGCAGGUUUUAUGUUAAAACCAAAUAUAAUAAAAUCUUAUCGCGGGGUUAGAUACCAUUUGAAAAAAUAUUCGCGAAGAGGACCACAAAAUGCUAAAGAGCUAUUUAAUCUUCGACAUUCAUCACUUAGAAAUAUAAUUGAGUGAACAUUUGGGGUAAUGAAAAAACGAUUUCCAUUUAUUAGUAUAUGUUUAUGUUUGUUUUUUAUAUAUUAAUAUUUGGUUUUUAAUUUUUUAUUUCGCGUCUCUUUAUGUGUUUUAAAUUAUUAAUUAUUGUAAAAUUCAUUUUACUUUAUUUUUUAAUAUAUUGAUCUUAUCUAUUAUUAUUAUUAGUUUAUGUAAUUGUUAAUUAAUGUAAUUUUGACUUAUAAAUUAUGAUAGAACUCAUAUUAAUGUCAAAUUUAAUAUUUUACGUUUUAGAAAAUCAAAUUUAAUUUAAUGUAAAUUUUCUAUAAUUUAUUUAAUAUUAUAAUAUUAUUAUUUAAAUAUGAAAGCUUAGAAAAAAUAACCGUUUGUUGCACGGUCAAAGUUCUAGUAGAAAUAGAAAUAGAGGGGCACGUGACGUCUCCUUUUGAUUACAGCUAAUAAGAAUCCAGAAAUCUUUGAAGGGUCCCGGAAUAAUGUAAUCACCUUCCUUAUUAUCAUCUAAAUUAUUGGGGUUGACCAAGAAUAAGAAGAAGAUGGGGAUAUAAUUGUUACAACUACCAAACAUGAUGUCCCCAUCUAGAAAAUAAAAAUCUAAAAUAAAUAAAAUUUAUAAGUUUUUUAAAAUUCUAAAUUAAUAUAAAUCUAAAAAAUUUUAAUGUCAUUUUUAAAAAAAAAUAUAAAUUAUUUAAUUGCAUUUUGAAAUAAUAAUAUAAAAAUUAAUUAAUUUUUUAAGUUUUUAAAAAUCUUAAAUUAUUGUAUUUCCUACUUAAAUAAUGAUUAAAAUAAAUAAAAUUUAUAAAAUUUUCAAAAUUCUAAAUAAAUAUAAAACUUAAAUUAUUUAAUGCUGUAUUUAUAUAAAAAUCCAAAAUAAAUUAAAUUUUUAAAUUAUUCAAAAUUGCUAAAAAAACUAAAAACCGUAAAUAUUUAAUGUCAUACUAAAUAAAAAUACAAAAUAAAUAAAUUUUUUAAAUUAUUUAAAAUAUUAAAUAAAUACAAAUCUAAAAUAUUUAGUGCCUACAUAAAUAAAAUCUAAAAUAAAUAAAUCAACAAAACAUGAGCGAGAUGGAAGAAUUUUCGUAUGUUAAAUAACUUCAAAGAAGACGAUAAGAUUGUUUUUGAAGCAAAUGUUAAUAUAUCAAAUAAUGAAAUUCGAGUUAUUCACCUUUUAGGAUAAAUUCAUUUUUUAUGAAACUGUUUAUUUUUAGUUAGUUUCUUCAAAAUUUGUGUCAGUUUGUUGAUAGUUAAACAAUUUAUUUAUUUGUGUAUAUUAUUUAUGUUUAAGCAUUGUUUAUAUUAAUUUUAGUAUGUUUAGUUUUUUAUUUAUUCGUAUAUGCUCAUGUUUAUUUCUUAUAUAUUAAUAUUUACUUUGUAAUUAAUUAAUUUAUUUUUCUAUUUACAUUUGCAUUCAUAUAUUUAAUUAUAAAAAAUAUAUUUUUAUACAAAAUAGUGAAAGAAAACGUGCCAAAUAAAUCAACAAAAUUUGGAGUGGGAUGGAAAAAUUUAUGUAUGUUCAAUGACUUCAAAGAAGACAAUAAAAUUAUUUUUGAAGCAGAAGUUAUCAUACCAAAUAAUGAAAUUCUAGUUAUUCGCCUUUUAAGAUGAAUAAUUUUUUUUACAUAACUUUUUAUUAUUACUUAUUUUUCUCAAAAACUUUGUGUUGUUGAUACUUGAACAAUUUAUUUAUUUACAUGUAUUAUUUAUGUUUAUGCAUUGUUUAUAUUAAUUUUAGUAUGUUUAGUUUUUUACUUAUUCAGAUAUGCUGAUGUUUAUUUCUUAUAUAUUAAUCGUUGCUUUGUAAUUUUUUUUUAUUUAAUUUUUUCUUUACAUUUACACUUAUAUAUGUAUAUGUAUUUAAUUACGUAAAUUAUAUUCUUAUACAAAAUAGUGAAAGAAAAUGUGUCAAAUAAAUGAACAAAACUUGCGGCGAGAUGAAUUUUUUUUUGUAUGUUAAAUAACUUCAAAGAAGGUGAUAAGAUUAGUUUUGAAACAGAUGUUAACAUACCAAAUAAUGAAAUUCGAGUUAUUCAUCUUUUAGCAUGAUUUUUUUUACAUAACUGUUUAUUAUUACUUAUUUCUCUCAAAAUUUGUGUCAGUUGUUGAUACUUGAACAAUUUAUUUAUUUAAGUUUAUUAUUUAUCUUUAUACAUUGUUUAGAUUAAUUUUAGUAUGUUUAGUUUUUUUGUUUAUUCAUACAUGCUAAUGUUUAUUUUUUAUACAUUAAUAGUUGUUUUGUAAUUUAUUUCUUAUAAGAACAAAAGUGAUUAUAUACGGAUUUAAUUCAAUAUGUAAAUAGACAUUACAUACUAAUUUUUUUCAUAUGUAAGCCAAAAAUGAUUAUAUACAAAUUUAGUCAGUAUGUAAUUUUGGCGCCAUGAAGCAAGAAUAACUACAUACGGAUUGUAUCCGUAUAUAAAGAAUUACAUACAAAAAUAUUUUUAAUAAUUGUAAUAAUAAUAGUGAUAAUAUUGAUAUUAAUAUUAAUAUUAAUGAUAAACAACUGGUUGAUUUUUUGUUAAUCAACUUCAACAAUUUUGUUUGAUUGCUUUAUGGAUGUCUGUAUCUGAGAUUCUGCAUUGAAGUUCAUUAUACCUUCAAAGUUUGUGAAAAUUUUUCAUAAACAAUUCAUCUCCCCUCUGGUUUAAGACCAUAUAUUCUAACAAAAACUUCCUCAACUUGAUAUGUAAAACCCACGGGAUCUAGUCUAGAAAAUGCUUCCCCUAUAAAAGUAGGAUUACAAUAUUUGUUUCUUGGGAGGAUAACACUUAAUCUCACCCAAUCUAUUCUCUCAUUUAAGCUUUAUCUCUUUUUUCUUUCUCACAAGUUUCUUUUCUUUUAUAUAGAGAAUGAGAAUAAGACUUCUUCAUAAAGAGAUAGUGGAUAAUUAAUGCUUAUCACAUUUUCAAGAGAGAGUUACAAAUUCAAGACUUUUGAAAUGACCAUCAUUGAAUAUAUUCAAUAGAUUAGUUACCAAUAUUUAUUGGUCAGGAUCUCCUACUAAAUUAAGAAGCGAUUCUCAACAUAAGAUUCAACAAACCAUAUAAAUAAGAACAAAAAAAAAAAAAAGUCUAUUAAAUGUUUGAAAACAUCAUAAUACCAAUCACCUACUUAAAUGUUUGAAAACCUUUUGUAGGUACAAUCCUCGUAGAAACCCAAGACCAAAUGCAAAAAUAGAAAGUGGAAGGAAACAUUACUAUGAUAAAGAGAAGUUAUUAUAUCAGCCUUCUACAAUAACAAUGAACAUAAAUAUUGUUUGAACAUUAAAAUUUUCUAUUAUUAUUUUAAAAAAUAAGAUGGUAAAAUAUGAGUUUCAUUCGAGUAAAAUUAAAAUAAACUAAAACUAUUAAAAAAAUAUCUUACCAAAUGUAAAUAAAAUGGUUUUAUUUUAGAAUGCUUUAUAAAAUACAUUAAAUCGAUUUACUCAACUACGAAGAUAAGAAAAACAUCUCUUCUUCAAACAAUGGUUUAUUAUGUGCUAUUGGUUUGUUUUAGUAAGUCAUAAACAAUAGAUUAAGUAACUUUUCAAAAUUUUACUAAGGAAAACAUCAUAGGUGAAACAAGAGACUCUUCCUCAUCAAGUUACACUUUCAUUAAAAAAAACUAAUAAACAAGUGUGUACCAAAAAAAAAAGUCUUAUAAUGGUACAACUUUAACUAAUAAAUAAUAAAAAAUUACUUUAAUUGCCACUUUUAUGCAAAGUGUUAUCUCCUUGUAAUGAUUUAUUCAAUCUUGAAUAAAUUUUAGAAUCUUAAUAUGAAGUCAUGGGUUGAUCACUGAGGGGCAAUCCAAUUAAUAUAUUAUAACAGUCCAAUCCAAGAAAUUAAUGACGAUACCCGCAUAAUCGUCAUAAAGAAGAGAGUGCAAAAUUAGUGGAGGUGGAGAGUUACGAAAAUAUAAGAAGGAAUUAAGUUAGUAAAUAGAACAAUUACAAAGAAAGGCAAGAGAGAAGUUUUAUAAGAAAGAAGAGAGGCCAAAGGGGAAAAAAAAUUGGAAACUGUUUUCGAAUACCAUUGAUUCUCUACCUAAGGAUCAUCUCUAUCGGCUAAUUAAUAGAAACCAUCAUAUCGACUAUUUUGACCUGCAAUGCAUGCUCAUUUUGCAUUUUUUAUUUUAUUUAUAAUAAAGUGAUUUGUUUACAAUAGAAAAUAACAUUUUUUUUUAGAUUUUUAAGGUUACACACAUCAUUACCAAAAAGAAAGAACAUUUCCAAAAAAAAAAAAACAAUUGACAGAGAGUACAAUUUAAAGACAUCAUCUUACACCUGGUAUAAGUUUUAAACAAAUAUUCUAGUGAAUGUUUUCAUUAUUAGCUUACUCAUCAAAUCUUCAAACUCCUCUGGUUUUUUCAACCUUUCAACCACACAAUUCAAUAGCUUCUCUAAUUUGAGAAGGAGGAAGUGUCACUGUAGUCCAAUCCAAUAGUGGAAUCCUCUGCUUUGGUUCUAGGGUGAUACAAAAUUUGUAUUUAUCCCUUUCCUAUUUGCCACAGUAUUUAGUGUUUCCAACACGUCCAAAUCAGGAAACCUCAGCUUUGCUUCCAAGAGUCCACCGUAAACUCCACUCAAGUAUGUUCUAUUUUCAGCUGAGGGUAUUAUCUCCAUCCCUUUAGGUGUCCAUUCAAUUCCAGAACCCUUCGCCAAGGCAAUGCUAAUGGUGUCAGCAAUAUCUAGAGAAGGAAAUCUAUUUUGUGCCUCAAAAACUCCAUCUUUCAUUCCUUCAUACCAUAAUUCUCGCGUUAUUGCUUCCUCCUCCUCACUUUCCUUAUGGCUAGAGGUUGGAGCUCCUCCAUCCAUCAUUCCUUGAUCAAAUAUCUCUCUCACCAUUUCUUCCACCAGAGGAGGUGAAUCCAAAUGUGGAAAGCUCGGCUUUGCUUCAGUGGGUGAUCCAAAAGUUUCUGUAAUCCCUUUCCUUUUUGCCACAGUAUUAAUUGUUGGCCACAUGUCCAAAUCAGGAAACAUCAGCUUUGCUUCUAAGAGUCCACUGUAAAUUCCACUUAUGUAUGUCCUGGUUUCAAUCGAUGUUUGCACUUCAUCUUCAGGUCUCCAUCUAACCCUAUAACCCUUCUCCAAAGCAGCUCUUCUGGUUUCAACAAUAUCAAGUGAAGGAAAUCUAAUAUGUGCCUCAAGAAGUCCAUCCUCCAUUCCUUCAACAAACAUCUCUCUCACUAUUUCUUCCACCCGAGGAUCGUAGCCUUCCUCCUCCUCACUUCCCGUAUGGCCAGAGGUUGAAGCUUCUUCUACAUUAUGCAGUUUCACUGGAUCCUUUAGUCUUAUCAACGCUAGAUCACCUAAUAUAGUAACUUUAGGCUUUCCAUCAUCAUUUUUUAGCACAUCUAGAAUCUGCCUCAGAGUGGAUUUUGGAUCUUUUAAAGCUGACCCUACUGCUUUUAAUGCAUUCUCAGCAUCCUGGGAUAUUCUCUGUAGUUCUCCCAAUACAAUUUGCAUGGAAUGGUUUUCAGCCAUUCCUUCAAACCCCCCUCUUCCUUUGUUGUCCAGCCAUUCAUUCAACGUCCUCUUAUAUGAUUCGUCCAAACCUAGACUCUCUAUCAUCAUUUUAUAUUCCUCCAUAUCAUCUUUUUUAGGAACUAUUGCCUGUGGCAUCUCGUCUGGAUCCAUGGGAUCGGGAGAAGCGAAUACGAGAUCAUCCAUUUUGGUUUUGUCUUCUUCAUACACAAAAGCUCCCCAACCACUUAUCACGAAGGAGGAAGUGGCUUUAUACGCAAUCUGCACCAGAUUCCACUCCUUCUUCAUCAGAAGUCGGUCAAGGCCAAGCCACUCCUUGUCACUGAACAAAACUCGUAGAUCAAAGAUCAAGAUGUGUUCUGCUUCAAUUCUGAAUUUGCGAGACCCUUUGCAAGGAACAUAUUGACCGUUGAUAAGUAAACGCAGAUCAACAACGCGACGACGAGCAAAUUUUUCCCUUUCACUCUCAUCUUGGAAGUGGAAGAUCAUGGCCAGAGCAAUGUUAGGGAACUUCUUACGAACCCAGAAACGAGGAUACCUUUGGACCCCCACAUAGUUAAACCAUUCUGGAAUCUCAGUUGUAAAUGGCAUCACCAGUUCUAUUCCACGUACCCCUUUCUUCUUCACCUAUCAGAUUAUUAUAACACUUUCAAUUGUCACUUCUAUAUUUAUUUUAGAAAAUUUGUAAAAUAUUAUUUUCAUAAAAUAAAGGUACAAGAUUUAACUUAAGUAAUAAACUCAUGCUACCUGAUUCCAUAACAUGUCUGAUGUCUCUCUAGUUAACUUGAAACAAAAUCUUGCGUCUACUUUCUGAACAGUUGACGACAACUCUGAAAUUUCUUCAAGGUUUGAACAAUGAUGAACAUAAAGAAUUCUCAAGUUAGUGAAUUCAGGAAUUUUUUUAAGCUUCUCACAUCCAUUCAGUUCGAGACUUGUCAAGUCACCACAUUCCUUGAUGCAUGAAGGGAUAGAAACAAAAUUGUUCUCUGAAGCAAUCAAUUCUUUCAAAUUUGGAAAGUAGCAAAGAAUAGCAAGAAGAUCUUCAUCAGACAAGUUAUCAUUUUCGACAUUCAGUGAUUGUAAUUUUGGACGAACAUCGGCUUUUGAAGGGUGCUGCACCAAACUUCUGAAGGAUUCUUGAAGUUUGGAGCAUGCUUCGAUUUUGAGGGAAACAACAUUUGGCAACUUGAAUAAGCUGCUUGGUAGACAUUUAAGUUCCCUGUUAUUUGAUAUGUCUAUACAUUCAAGCCCAGUAAGUUUACCAAUGGAUUCUGGAAGCUCUUGAAUAGCAGUAUUUAUCAUAUAAAUCUUCAAUGGCUUUGUCAUUUCUAGCCUUAUCUCCGGGAAGUGACCAAGGCUUUCACAUAAAUUAAGGUCAAAGACUUCUAAAGACGGCAGAAACAUUUUAGACACGAAUUUUUCGAGUUUUAUGCAUCCUGAAACACUUAAAUGAGCAAGCCUUUUCAGCUCACCAACAGAUUCAUGUACUGCAGUUAGCUCUCUACAAUGAUCAAGUCUCAGUUCUCUUAGAAUCUGAAGUUCAGACAUAUCAGGUAUUGUUUUGAUACUUUGGUUAUAUGAAAAGUCCAUAAUAGUCAAGCAUGGAAAUUUCUGCCAAAUAGAAAGUACAAAAAAUAUAUUAUUUGGAGCAUUUUGAGUUAUUAACUUAUUAAUGACAAUAAAUAUGGAAGUUUUUGUUCAAUGAAAAAUUGAAACAUAAAAAAUAGGAAAAUAUGAUAUAGAAUUGUACCUUAAAUGGCUCUUCCAAUGUUAGACGACUUCUAGGCAAAUUUAAAACAAUGAUGUUCUCUGGAUUAAAUUUUGGUGGGAAAGACUUUGAAGGACACUCUUCCCAGUCAAGAAGUCUUAAAUAAUUUGGUAAAUGUUCAAGUUCAGAUGAAAAUGAUGUGUUUCGAACAAUGAGAAUUCUGAGACAUUCCAUCUUCACCAACGCAGUACCACUCCAUUCUACUUCUUCUCGUUGAGGGGGAUCAAGCAUAAUCCCUUGAAUCUUAUCGCUUCCCUUUAACACAAGUACAAAGAAGCAACAUCAACUGCCUAUUAUCAGUAAUAUAAAUAAAAAACAAAAUAGAAUAAAAGAGUAGAGGAUUACAUAAUCUUUGGUUAGUAUUUCAAUAGCAUCUUCAUAAUACCAUAUUCUGCUACGUUUAGCAGGAUUUAUUGAUUCCUUCUUAACAAUCUCUCUACCCAUAUCUUGUAUUAGAUCAUGCAUCUUCAGACAGUCAUACUCGAUAGUUAUGAGAGAUUUAUUAAGAAGUACUUUCAUGUUGGUUGUUGGACAAAAUUCUAGAAGUAUCUUUUUCACAUAUUCCAUUCUCUCCCCUUUAAAGAAGCAAGCUAUGUCCAAGAAAAUUUGUUUGGCAUUAUCAUCCAAUCUAUCGUAGCUUAUUUUAAGCACAUCUUGAAUCUCUGUAUUUGGAGUCUUCUCAUAUUCUUUCAUUGCCAUUUCCCAAUCUCCUAAACUUUCAUGAAAAGCAGCUAAAUCAGAGCCUAUGACUUUUAAAGCCAGUGGAAGACCUUUGGCGUAAUCUACAGCACGCACAGACACAUCUUCAAAACCUGUUUUAGGAUAACUUUGUUUGAAGGCAUUCCAACAAAAUAGCUCUAAAGAAUGUUGGUCAUCAAGUUCCUUCAUUUCAUACUUAAGUUUAACUUGGUGAGCAAUUAGCACAUUUUCUUCCCUUGUCGUUAUAAUGAUCCUACUACCUGGACCAAACCAAUUGCACUCUCCUGCCAACUUUUCUAACUGGUCUUUAUCACCAACGUCAUCAAGAACCAAAAGAACUUUCUUUUUCUGAAGCUUUUCUUUUAUUUCACCCAUUCCUUUAAUUGUACUUCCCAAUUUAGUUUCCAACUCCUCAAACAUAUCAGAUAAAAGUGUCUUUUGUAGAUCUUCCAUGCCAUUGAUUCUGUUUGAUUUUUCUCUAACAUCGGAAAGAAAACUUGCAGCAUCAAAGUUUUGCACAAUUUUGUUAUACAAAGCUUUGGCAAGUUCCGUUUUUCCAAUUCCACCAAGUCCAUAUAUGCCCAACAUUCUUACAGUUUUAUCUUCAGCCUUCUUGUCCAAAAGUGACUUAACUUCUUCUAUGCAAGCCUCAAGUCCAACAGGGUUUUGACCACUAUAUAAAGGUUUAGGAGUUAUAUAUUCAUGGACCUUUCCAACAAUUUCUUCAAUACGAUAGCUUUCAUCAUCCCUAUAAGAGUAGAAUGUAUUAAUUAUUUGUUUGAUAUCAUGAUUUUUAAUUUAUUGUACUAAAUGAUAAGCAUUGUGAUUAUUGUACUAGAUAGUAAGCAUUGAUAUUAAGAACCAGUAGCACAAAAGAAUAAUGAUCACACAUCAUACAAAAUUUACUGGAGAUGAAAAAGUUAGAACAAUUUUAUUCUAAGAAAAAUACCUAAAUAUAAUAUCAAAUUAAAAUAAAAAUGGAUUUUGUUUUCCACUUUGAAAUUUUUAUUAGUUUUUUAUCUUUUAAAUUAUUUUUUAUAAUGUUCAAAAUUAUUAUUUAUGACUAACAAAAUCAAUUAACACCCUGGAAAAAUCUAAAAUUUAAAUGCAUAGUCGACCAUUUAACAUUUUUUAUAAAUUAUUAUAAUUAAGAUGUAGAAUGUUAUAUAUAACAAACUACAUAUGAUAAAAACAAUAUUACAUAUCCCAUUAUAAUUAAGAUGUAUAAUAUUAUACAUAACAAACUACACGUGAUAAAAACAAUAUUACAUACCAUAAAGUAUAUUACUUGAAAAAAAAUAUUUUUUUGAAAAGUAAAGUCCUACAUAACACCAACUUACUUUUGGUGUUUAACCUUUUAUAAAAGGCUAUAGUUAUUUUUUAACUAAAAUAAUUUAUUUUUGGAUGAGAGAAAAAAUGUUUUCUUUUAAAGUUUUCUUACCAAUUGUAUUUUUUUAAUAUAUAAGAGAAUAACGUGGUAGUUAUUGAGAAAAUAUUGUUAGAAUGUAAGGUGUUGAAUAAACGUAAUUGAUGGUGGAAGUAAGAAACAAGCAAUGGACAAAAAGACAAUCUAGAAUCUCUAAGCUAGGUGUGAAAGAACCCACUAAAUGGAAGUGUAGAGGCUAGGUGAUAGAAGGUUGGAUGUAGUAGUAGUAAGGAGUUCAUGGAAGAAUAGUGGUGUUGGUGGAUGUGGUAUACUCACUACGAAAACAACAUAUUAUCGACGGUCAAAAUCCAUAAAUAAUAAAUAAGACCAAAAAUUUGUCGAUACCUAUGAAAGAGCAACAAGCCAAAUUUCACCAAUAAUAUGCUUGUCGGUGAGUUUACCAAGAGAAAAAAUUAUUUAAGUAAUUAUUAAUAUUAUCAAUUAUUAUUUUUAAAAUACUAUUUAUCAUUAACAAAUUAUAUUAUUAUUUUCAAUUAUUAGAACACAUUACCAUUCUGAUUUUUAUUAUUCUUAUUAUUAAUAAUAAUAUAAAUAAUAAUAAUAUAUUAAAAAAUAUUAAUACUGAUAACACUAUUAUUAAUAUCAAUACAAAUAAUAUUAUUAUUAAUAUCAAUACAAAUAAUAAUAUUAUUAAUACUAAUACUAAUAAUAUUAACAAUAAUAAUAUUAUUAUUAUCAUUAAUAUUAUUAUAAUUAAUUAAUAAUAAUAUUAUUAUUAUUAAUUUUAUUAAUAUUAACAUUAGUAUUAUUAGAACUAAUAUUAUUAUUCAUCUUAUUAAUAUUAUAAUUAUUAAUAUAAUAUUAAUAAUAAUAUUAUUUUAAUUAUUAUUAUUAUUAAUAUAUUUAAUUUCUGUAGUCAUUAUUAAUUUUAUUAAUAUUAAUAUUAUUAGUAUUAUAUUUAUUAAUAUAAAUCUAAUAAGAAUAAUAAUAAUAGUAUUGGUAAUAAUUACAAUAAUCAUAAUAAUUAAUAUUAUAAUAUUAUUAAUAAAAUUAAUAAUAAUUACUAACUAUGCGUUCAAAUCCUAGUUUCAAGAUAAUAAUAUUGUAAUACUUUUUUCAUGUAAUAAUACAUAAUUAUUAUGUCAAAUUGCAAUGCCUAACAUAAAAUUUUCUAUAAUUUUUUUUAAUAAUAAUACUAAGUUAAUAUUAAUAAAAUUAAUAAUAAUUAUAAUAAUAUUAAUGAUGAUAAUAAUAACAUGGAUAAUAACAAGAAUAUUAAUAUUAAUAAUUAUAAUAUUAGUAAUAUGAAUAAUAAUUAUAAUAAUAUUAUUAAUAUUAAUAGUACUAAUAUUAUUAAUAAAAUUAACAAUAAUUACAGUAAUAUUGAUAUUAUUAGUAAUAAUAAAUACAGUAUUAUUAUUAUUAUUAUCAUUAAGAAUAAUAAUAACCAUAAUAAAACAAAAAAAUGAUUUUGAUUUAGUGGUUAUCAGCUGAGUGAAUCUGGACUAAACUGUGUCUUGUAGCAAAACAAAUUUUUUAUCAAACACAAAUAUGCCGGUAAAUGCGUCAAUAAUGUCAUAUGUCGGUAUAAUUUGUUGGUAAUAAAAAAUAUUGCCAAACAUAAAUUCAUCGGUAAUUCAAUAUUUUUUUUAAUAGGUGAUUUUAAGAAACAAGUUAAAAAGACGGAACUAGGAUUUAUAAUUUUAAAACAAAGAGGUAUGAAAUCAAAACAAGUAAAUCACUGUAACUCAUAUAGGUGAUUUGGAUAAAAUGGGAUUACUAAGUAAUCUAAAUGAGAAAGGAAUGAUGAAAGGGAAGAGGUUAUUUAGUGAACUUAUACGCGCUGGUAACAUAUAAGUCCUUGGAAAAAUAAAAGUCUCGAUCAAAAUGGAUUUAAUUUGGAGACUCAAACUCUAGGUAUUUUCAUGUUGUUACGGAUUGAAAAAUAAAUAGGAAUGAGAUUAAAAAGGUGUUGAAAACCUAGGGUAGUGGAGUGCAAACCCUAUCAUUGUUAAAAGCAAGGUAAAAGAGUUAUUCUAUGAGAGGCUAAUGUAGAUUACUAAAUUCAAUGUUAGGUUAAGGAAAAUUCUCUUCUAUUUCUAUUGGUGAUAAUAUAGUCUUUAACAUGUGGGUUUACGAAACUAGAAAUUAAGAAAACACUAGGCAAUGUAAGACUGAUUAAAGUCUGUGAGAUAACUAUAAAUUUGGCUUUACAAAGAAAUUAUGGGAGGUUGUAAAAGUGGAAAUCAUACAAUCUACCCACUCUUUUCAAAUUAGUGGGAAUAUUAUAAGGGAUGCAAAGUCUCUUUCAUAACACUUACACUCACUUAUACCUAAGGUAGACAAUUCAGGUAGUUUACAUGAAUUCAAAAUUGGUCUCCUUAGUUAGGUGUAGGUAAAUUGAACUUCCAAUAAUUCUACUUGUCGGAAAUGAAUGAUAAGGGAAAUAGGAUGUAAAUGUGUAUGUGGGUAGAGAUUAUUUUGAAUAUAUAGAAUCAUAGGAAUAAAAUUAUUUUUAAGAAUGACAUCGUAUAUGCAAAAGAGAUAUUUCUUUUGGCACAGACAAAAGUAUGAGCUUGGACAAGGAAUAAAUCUCUUAAUCAACUUUUACAUAUUCUUAUUGGUGUAUAUAUGCCCAACAACUUGCAUAAAAACCUAUCUAAAUAAUAUGGUAUACUCACUCAAAUGAAUAUAUACGAUUGCUAAUUGUAAGUUAUUUUCAGUUUGAGUCUUAUGAAUGAAGCAAUAAAGAUUGAGAUUUCUUGAGUACCAUACACAUCAACGAAUUAAAACCUUAUGUAUGCCAUAUGUAAAAAAAACUAGACAUUAAAGAAGGAGUGACAAUGAUUAGUAUAGGUUUAUGGUAAAUUCUUGUGGAGGGUAGUGAAGUGUUAUUAAGAAAAUCCUUAGAUACUUUAAAGCAACAUUAUACAUUGUAUUAUGAAGGAUGAGAAUUAUAUUUCAGAGAGUUAUAUUAUAUAUGAUUAAUUAUCCCAUAAAAUACAUGAUUUUUUCUAAAUAUGGGAUGAAAAAGAAAUAAGAUUGAAUGGUUUGUUAUACAUACCCGGUGGCAAUAUGCUUCCCUGGGAAGUCAACUGCUUGAGACAAGGCUGACCUCCAAUCCUGAAUUCUCUGUGAUUCAUGUGCCUUCAUGUGUUUUCCGAAGCUAUUUCUUUCGUGCCGUAUAUCUGAGGGAUCUACAUGGUAAAACACUGGGUAAACAAGCUGCUUCUUCUCCUUCAUCUUGCUGCGUUCUAUGAUCUUAACAAGUUCAUCCAGACACCGUGUGGAAGAUGCAUAGUUCUCAGAAAACACAACGAUGAAAAUCUUAGAUUCUUCAAUGGCCUUCGACAGAUCAGGUGGAAGACUUUCCCCUGUCCUCAUAUUCUUAUCAUCAUUGAAACUUUUUAUUCCCUUCCCAUCUAACUCUCUACGCAGAUGCCCUAUAAAAUUGUUCCUUGUAUCUUCUCCUCUAAAACUGAUGAACACAUCAUAGGUGAAACCAAGACGCUCUUCUUCCUCACCAUGUUCUCCCAUGCUACAAACACACCAAAACUACACUAUGGAUUCUCAACUACUUUCAUCAAUUUAGUGUGUUCUGAUUAAAUACACUUUCUUACGCGGAUACACGCUUUCCUGUCUCACUGAAUUAAGCUUCUAAAUUAUAGGGGUUGACCAAGAAUAAGACGAUGGGGAUAUAAUUAUUACAACUACCAAACAUAAUGGCUCGAUCUUGAAAAUAAAGAUGAUGGGAACAGAAAUAAUUCACGUGGUGCAUAUUUAAUGUGGUUUAAAUUGUACAGAAUUGGAUUUCUGUGUAUAAAAAUAUAGCGUUCAGAUUCAUGUGUAUUCAAUUUAAUUUAUAGUAUUGUUUUUCUAUACAUUGAAAGUUAGGUAAAGGAUAAAAUAUUCUAGAACGAAUUUAUUAAGUUUAAAAAAAACAAUUUAUUUAUUUAUGUUUAUUAUAUAUCUUUAGGCAUUGUUUAGACUAAUUUUAAUAUGUUUAGUUUUUUUUUUAUUUAUUCAUAUAUAUGCUGAUGUUUAUUUGUUACACAUUAAUAGUUGUUUUGUAAUUUAUUUAGUUAUUUUUUAUUUAUAUAUAUAUAUAUAUAUAUUUUAUAUAUAAAAUAGUGUAAAAAAACUCAUCAAAUAAAUCAACAAAUCUUGGAGUGGGAUAGAAAACUUUUUCUAUGUUAAAUGACUUCGAAGAAGGCGAUAUGAUAGUUUUUGAAACAGAGGUUAAAAUACCAAACAAUGAAAUUCGAGUUAUUCACCUUUUAGGAUGAGUUUUUUUUUUUAUAUAUAACUUUUUAUUCUCACUUAAUUUUCUCAAAAUUUGUGUUAGUUUGUUGAUACUUAAACAAUUUAUAUAUUUAAGUGUAUUGUUUAUGUUUAUGCAUUGUUUAUAUUAAUUUUAUUAUGUUUAGUUAUUUAUUUAUUCGUAUAUGCUCAUGCUUAUUUCUUAUAUAUUAAUAUUUGCUUUCUAAUUUUUUUUUUAAUUUUCUUAUUUACAUUUACAUAUAUAUAUAUAUAUAAUUAUGUAAAUUAUUUUUUUUAAUACAAAAUAAUGAAAGAAUACGCGUCAAAUGAAUCAACAAAACUUGGAGCGGGAUGAAAGAAUUUUCUGUAAGUUAAAUGACUCAAAGAAGACGAUAAGAUUGUUUUUGAAGCAGAUAUUAACCUACCAAAUAAUGAAAUUUGAGUUAUUAGUCUUUUAGGAUGAAUUUUUUUUUUACAUAAUUGUUUAUUUUUACUAACUUUCCUCAAAAUUUGUCUCAAUUUUUUGGUACUUGAACAACUUAUUUAUUUACGUGUAUUGUUUAUGUUUAUGUAUUGUUUAUAUUAAUUUUAUUAUGUUUAGUUGUUUAUUUAUUUGUAUAUGCUUAUGUUUAUUUCUGACAUAUUAAUAUUUUCUUUCUAAUUUUUUUGCAUUUUCUUAAUUACAUUUAUAUAUAUAAUUAUAUAAAUUAUAUUUUUAUAUAGAAUAGUGAAAAAAACGCGUCAAAUUAAUCAACAAAAUUUGGAGUGGGAUUGAAGAAUUUGGAUAAGAUUAAAGGAUUUCAAAGAAUAAAAUAAGAUUGUUUAACCUACCAAAUAAUGAAAUUUGAGUUAUUAGUAUUUUAGGAUGAUUUUUAUUUUUUACAUUAUUGUUUAUUGUUACUGAAUUUCCUCAAAAUUCGUGUAAGUUUGUUGAUACUUAAAAAAAUUAUUUAUUUCUGUGUAUGGUUUAUGUUUAUGUAUUGUUUAUAUUAAUUUUAUUAUGUUUAGUUGUUUAUUUAUCUGUAUAUGCUCAUGUUUAUUUCUUAUAUAUUAAUAUUUGCUUUCUAAUUAUUAUUUUUAUUUUCUUAUUUACAUUUAUAUAUAUAAUUAUAUAAAUUAUAUUUUUAUACAGAAUAGUGAAAGAAAAUACAUCAAAUAAAUCAACAAAAUGAAAAAAUUUAUGUAAAUUAAACGACUUCAAAAAAGACGAUAAGAUUGCUUUUGGAGUAGAAGUACCUACCAAAUAAUGAAAUUCGAGUUAUUAGCCUUUUAGAAACACUACAAAAGAUAUUUAUUCAUUACACACUGAUUAUUACAUACGGAUUUAGAUCCGUAUAUAAUUAUGGAUUUAUAUACGGAUAUUACAUACGGAUAAAAAUCAGUCACUAAAUUGUUUAUACAUACUGAUUUUUCUGUAUGUAAAAGUAAAUAAAUUUUAUAAAAUAUAUCCGUAUAAAAAAUAUGUAUGUAACAAAGAACAUCUGUUGCAUACAGAUAUUUUAAAUUUAUUUAUUAAAAAAAUAAGUUUUAGAAGUUUUGUCAUUUUUUCACUAAAACCCCAACGUUUGCCCCCAAAACCCGUGUGCCCUAAUUCUAUCUUCAGAAGUGGAGUGUGUGAAGCUCAAUCUUGAAGCAAAGGUGAAGCUCCGUCCGACCUUCUGAAAAAUACAAAGGUGAGUUUGUUCUUUAUCCUAAUAUCUGUUUGCAUGAUGUAUUUUGUGCCAACGAAUGGUAUGAAAAAGGAAGGCAAUGGUGGACACAUGAAUGACACUGUUUGGAAACCAUGAGUGCUGGCCUCCUUAUCUCUUUCCUUUUCGCAACCUUACUCACUCUCUCAUCCCCUUUUCUAUGUCACUGCCUCUCCUUAUAUUGAUGAAGAGUGAGAAGAAAAAAAAGAGUAGGUGAAGGUAGGUGGUGGGAAGUUGGGAGAGAAAUGAGGGAGUAGUGGAGAUUUUGGAAAGAGUGGGAGCAGGUGUAAGAGAGGCAGCAGGUGCAGAGUAAGUGGCGUGGAGAGUGUGGGUCAAAUGUUAGUAAUAUUUGACUGUCCCCAAACCCACAUUAUGGGAGCUUCAUGUACCAAACCACCCACACUUUGGAACUUUUGCUCCGUAAGACCAUAAAGGACCAUCUAAGUGGAGAAAAACUUGAUCUCCUUUUAGUGGGAUUCUUUACUUACAAUUGAUUAAUUCUACAUUGAACUCAUCAUCAACACUUAGAUUUUUACUUUUUCAAUUACUUGUUCCUAUAAUAUUAUUAAUUCUAAUCUAUGACAUUGCUUUCACAGAAUAGAGUUUCAUCUAAUUUCUUUGAAGGUUGUGUUUGUCCUAUCCCAUGUUUAUGCCUAUAAUAUUGCAUGUAUUGUUACUUACUUUUUACACAUAUAGACUUUGAGGAGCCAUGUUAAAUUUUCCAUUCUGUUAAAAUACCCGUGUUUUUUUGUUGCUCAUUUGCUUUUAUCAAACAAAACCAAUCCUUGGUCAUUCAUUAUAUGGAGGACAUAUAAGUUUUUGUUUUUUGUCUUUGGUCUUGAUAGAUGCUUUGUUUGAUUGUUAAUUUAUGCUAAGGAAAAUGAGAAAACAAUGGACAUUGAAUAGUAAUUGGAGGAGUUGGUGUUAAUGCAUGAUGCAGCUUUUGCAGAGAAUCUAAGGUCCAUCUGUGUGGGUGGAUAAGUGGGAAUUAGCACGCAGAGAACCUAACUAGUGUUCAUGGACAUCACUUUUAAACAAAGCACCCACAUGCCUCUUCUGUGAGACUACCACGUUUCCAUAUUGCAAGUCAUGUCCUUAUUUGGAAAGCUAAUCCAAAUACGUGUAAUCUCCUCGAAUAUGAAAGGGCAUAGACCAUAUUCUCUUUAAGCUAAAUACCUUUUUCCUUCCACAAGGGCCUAGGGCAGUUUCUUUGAAGCACCUUUUAGAGAUAACUCUAUUUAAUAUAUACAACAUCAUUGGUAGAAGAAGUACUUAUAAUUAGUGAAUCUAUAACUGCAAAAAGAUAAUAAUGUGGAUUAAACCCCUUGGAUUACCUAAUCUUGCCACUAUAUGUGGAUGAAGCACUCAUUCACUUUUCUAAGAGUAAAUUUAAUUCAAUGGAAAAUAGAACAAUUAUCACAAAACACAUAUUAUCACAAACACACAUGAAAUUACUUAUUAUCAUUAUACUACAUAAAGUUCAAAAUAACUUCAAUUCUAAACUACUCACCAAGAUUUUUACAAAAACGAAUGUGUUACAAACACAAUACACACUACAAGAAAACAGCCAAAUAGCUUCCAAAUUUCUGUGUGGGCCAUUUUCGGACGCUACUAUCGUCGGCCAAAAUGAGGAGAAACCCACGCAAAAAUGGCAAUGGAUGCAAAACGGACGCACUUAUGGAUUUAAUGUUUUUUUUUAAAACAAUCUAGUUUGCGUCGGCCCAGGCCCACGCAUAUGCGUCAGCAUGCGUCCCACGCAUAUGCGUCGGCCACGGCCCACGCAUAUGCGUCCGUCACAACCCACGCAAAGCCCACGCAUGUUUAUAUUUUAGGAUUUUAAAAUUAUUUAAUGUAUAACAAAUAUUUUAAUAUUUAAUUCUUUAUUUUAUUUAUUUUAAAAUUAUUUCUUUAAUAUUAUAAUAAAUUAUUUAAUUUAUCAAAUUUUAAUAUAAAUUAGUUAAAUUAAAAUUAUUAAAUUAAUUAAGCGUUUGAUUUAAAAUUAAUUUAGUAAAAGAAAAGAUCUAUUUAAAUUAUUUAAAUGUUAUAUAAAAUAUUUUAUUAUUUUAAAAAUUAUUUAUUUUAAACUUAUUUUAUUUAUAUAUUGUCAUAAAUAUAUAUUUUUUAAAUUAUGAUAUAAAUUAGUUAAAUUAAAUUUAUUAAAUUGAGGAAGUGUUUAAUUUUGAAAUUAUUUAAAUGAAGUUAUCUUAAAAAGUUUAUAAAGAUUUGAAAACAUGUAGAAAAAUAAUAAUUAAUUAAAAAAUAGUAAAAGAAAAGUAAAAAAAAAUGCGUAUUUAAAUUUUGUAAAUAUUAUAUAAAAUAUACAUAAAUUUAAGAAUAUAAAUUCAAGAUGAAGUAAUUAAUUAGUGCAAAUGGUAAUGGAUGUAUUUAAAAAUAGAGAAUAAAUUUUAUCUAAAAAUGUUUUAUUUGGUUUAAGAAAAAAAAGUUGGAUAAAACUUUUAAUUAGUAAUAUAACUUAAAUAAAUUUAAAUGUUAUAUGUGUGCAAUGGCUAAAUGAACUAGGAUUUUUUGUUUUGAUAUCCAUUAUAAUUUUAAAGAUGUUAUUUCUCAUAAAUGAAGCAUAAAAUCAUCUUAAAGAAUUAGCGAAAAUGUAUAUGAUACAAACAUAUUAAGACUAAGUGCGUGAGUAAGUAACUUAUUCUUAAUUCUUAAAUUAAUACAAUAUCCAAAGUGUUUCAAAGUUGACUAUAUGCUCUAUAAAUGUCAUUGUUAUAGUUACUAAGUAUGAUCUCUAAAAGAAAUUAAUGUUUUCCAACUGAAGCACAAAAUAAUGUAGUAAGUUGUAAGUAACGAGAUGACACAUAUGCAAUAUUCUUUAUAAGUGUGUUAAUAUAGUUUCCCAAUGUUCGCCUGAUAGCGAGAGUCGAGGGAGAAGCACGAAGACGAGAAGUACCCCAGUCAAGCACCCAACAACCUGCCCGACUGAGGGAAGAAGACGAAAACUUCAAUAGUUCUCUAGGUCCCAUCUCCCCAGCAGAAACAAAUUAAUAACCCUAGUCCAUUGUCAAGGUAAGAGUUAAACUAAGAAGUGCAUUAUAAAGGCUGAAAGAGAGUAUCAUAAGCAAUUUGAGAAAUAUGAGUCAUUUCGUGAUAGUUAUAGAAUUAACUUAGAAUCAUGGAAUAUAGUUGAUUAUUAGAUUUUGGAUUAUAAGUUAGAAAGGAUUAUAAGUUAGAUUUAACCACUAAACCAAGCAAAUUCUUUAGUAUUAUUAUAAUUUUAAUUAUACUUAUUAUUAUUAACAAUAUUAAUAAUAUUAACAAUAUUAUUAAUAUUAACAAUAUUAAUAAUAUUAAUUUUAAUAAUAUGAAUAUUAUUAAUAUUAAUACUAAUAAUAUUAAUAAUAUGUAUAAUAAUAUUAAUAAUAUUUAUAAUUAUAUUAAUAAUAUUUAUAAUUAUAUUAAUAAUAUUUAUAAUUAUAUUAAUAAUAUUUAUAAUUAUAUUAAUAAUAUUUAUAAUUAUAUUAAUAAUAUUUAUAAUUAUAUUAAUAAUAAUAUGACCAAAGAAUUUGUCUGGUCUAGUGGUUAAUGCUUCCCUAGUUACUGGAAGGACUUGAGUUUCGUGGCGUCAGAACCCAGAUUCUGCAUGUUGUGUCCGUUUUUUGCUUCCACGCUAAGUAUAUUUUUUUUUAUCUUUCUUUAGGUUGAUUGACUUGGUUCAUAAGAAUUAACAACAGAUCGAUUCUCAAAAUUGAAGGUGAAUGGAAUUUAAUCUUCAUUUUGGCAUAUUUUUAGUAUUAUAGUAAUUUGUAGCUAACUUGUUCACCCUGUUAUUAACAUGGACACUUCAAAUUUGUCUGUUGCAUUGAUUUAUAAUACUAGAACUUUGCUAGUUUGUAUAAUUGUAAAUGGUAUGAAAAGAAAACAUGAUAGGUACUGAAUCGUGAGACUACAUAAUACUGGUGUGAGACUGUAAAAUACUGUGUAUUUAUACUGUUGUAAUUUUGACUGGUGUAUACUGCUGUGUAUUGAAGUUUCUUGACUCUUUUGAGAAUAUAAAAAAGGCUCUCAAAGUUUAUUGUGGAGUUUUGCAUCUGAUCCAUGAUAACAAUUGCUCCCUCUAUCGAAUCCCUUUAUUUUCAUGAAAAAAAAAAUAAAAUAAAAAAAAUGAAAGUCUGUAAAUUUUGCAUUAGGUUUUCAACCUAUGCUAUAUAUGGACCUCUUUAUUGCAUUAUGGUGUGUGUAUGUUUAACUAAAUAAAAGAAUAAAAUAAAUCUUUACAAGGAACUGCAUAUUAAAUGUUGUUGGCAUGAACUUCUUUAGGUUUUUUGCUUUAAAGAAACUACAAUAAUAAAGCCAAGUAUAAUUUUUUUUAAUCUUCCUAGGUUGAUUGACUUGGUUCAUCAGUUGUUGGAUGAUCAGUUCUUCAUUUUGACAUAUUUUUAGUAUAGUAGUUAAUUUGUUUACCACCCCGGUUGUUAAUAUGGUCACUUUUAAUUUUAUCUGUAAUACAUUAUUUCUUUACUAGUUUGUAUAAUUGUAAAUAGUAUAAUUAAAGUUUUGCAUUAUGGUGUGUAAGGUUAUCUAAAUAAAGGAAUAAAAUAAAUUUAAAAUCUGACCACAGUUACAUACGGAUAUAUCUGUAUGUAAAUCUGAACACAGUUACAUAUAUUUGUAUGUAAAUCUGAACACAGUUACAUACAAAUAUAUCUGUAUGUAAGUCUGAUCACAGUUACAUACGGAUUUAUCCGUAUAUAACAAUUACCUACGAUAAUUUUAUAUACGAAUUUUUGUCCGUAUGUAACUAUGUUUUAUAUACAAAUUUAUUGAGUUACAUACGGAUUUGAGUUGUAUGUAAUACCAACUUUUCUUGUAGUGGAAGAAUCUCUUCUUUUACACAGUUGUUUAUUGUUACUGACUUUCCUUAAAAUUUAAGACAGUUUGUUGAUACUUGAACAAUUUAUUUAUUUACAGGUAUUGUUUAUGUUUAUGCGUUGUUUAUAUUAAUUUUAUUAUGUUUAGUUGUCUAUUUAAUCAAAUAUGCUCAUCUUUAUAUCUUAUAUAUUAAUAUUUGUUUUCUAAUUUUUUUAUUUUCUUAUUUACAUUUACAUUUAUAUAUAUAUAUAUAAUUAUAUAAAUUAUAUUUUUAUACAGAAAAGUGAAAGAAAACAAGCCAAAUAAAUUAACAAAACUUGGAAUGGAAUUGAAGAUUUUUUGUAUGUUAGAUUACUUCAAAGAAGACGAUAUGAUUGUUUUUGAAGCAGAGACUAACAUACCAAAUAAUGAAAUUCGAGUUAUUUUGCUUUAGGAUGAGCCAUUUUUUUACACAAUUGUUUAUUGUUACUUACUUUUCUCAAAAUUUGUGUCAGAUUGUUGAUACUUGAACAAUUUAUUUAUUUAUGUAUAUUAUUUGUGUUUAUGCAUUGUUUAUAUUAACUUUAGUAUGUUUAGUUUUUUUAUUUAUUGGCAUUUGCUGAUGUUUAUUUCUUAUAUAUUAAUAUUUGUUGUAUAAUUUUUUUUUCUCAUUUACAUUUACAUUUAUAUAUAUAAUUAUAUAAAUUGUAUUUUUAUACAAAAUAGUAAAUCAAAACGUGUCAAAUUAAUCAACAAAACAUGAUGCGCGAUGAAAGAAUUUGUGUAGGUUAAAUGAUUUCAAAGAAGACAAUAAGAUUAUUUUUGAAACAAAGGUUAACAUACUUAUAAUGAAAUUCGAGUUAUUCGACUUUUAGGAUGAGUCCUUUUUUACACAUAUGUUUAUUAUUACUUACUUUCCUAAAAAUUUGUGAGUUUGUUGAUACUUGAAGAAGUUAUCUAUUUACCUAUAUUAUUUAUCUUAAUGCAUUGUUUAUAUUAAUUUUAAUAUGUUUAUUUUUAUAUGCUAAUGUUUAUUUCUUAUAUAUUAAUAUUUGAUUUUUAAUUUUUUAUUUAGUUUCUUAUUUACAUUUAAAUUUAUAUAUAUAUAUAUAUAUUUAAUUAUAUAAAUUAUAUUUUUAUUCUAAACAAUGAAGAAAACGCACCAAAAAAAUCAACAAAACUUAGAAUGGGAUGUAAGAAUUUAUGUAUGUUAAAUGACUUUAAAGAAGACAAUAUAAUUAUUUUUUAAGCAAAUGUUAACAUACCAAAUAAUAAAAUUUGAUUUAUUCGUCUUUUAGGAUACAUCAUUUUUUACACAACUCUUUACUAUUACUUACUUUUCUCAAAAUUUGUGUCAGAUUAAUACUUGAAUAAUUUUAGUUACGUGCAUGAUUAUUUUUAAUGUAUUAUUUAUAUUAAUUUUUAUGAUAUUUAGUUUAUUUAUUUAUUAGAAUAUGUUUAUGUUGGUUUCUUAUAUAUUAAUAUUUGGUUUUUAAUUUUUUUAUUUUGCGUCUCUUUAUGUGUUUUAAAUUAUUAAUUAUUGUAAAAUUUAUUUUACUUUAUUUUUUAAUAUAUUGAUCUUAUCUAUUAUUAGUUUAUUAGUUUAUGUAAUUGUUAAUUAAUGUAAUUUUGACUUAUAAAUUAUGAUAGAACUCAUAUUAAGUUUCAGAAUGUCAAAAUUAAUAUUUUACGUUUUAGAAAAUCAAAUUUAAUUUAAUGUAAUAUAUGAAUUAAUUUUUCUAAAUUUAUUUAAUAUUAUAAUAUUAUUAUUUAAAUAUGAAAGUUUAGAAAAAAUAACCGUUUGUUGCACGGUCAAAGUUCUAGUAGAAAUACAAAUAGAGGGGCACGUGACGUCUCCUUUUGAUUACAGCUAAAUCCAGAAAUCUUUGAAGGGUCCCGGAAAAUGAUUCUUUCAUACUUCACCAGAUUCUUAACUGCUUUUCUAACGCACUCCAUAUGCCAUAAAGUGACACAAUAAUGUAAUCACCUUCCUUAUUAUCAUUUCAUUUAAUACAGUUUCUUACGCUGAUACAAGAUGGGGAUAUAGUUAUUACAACUACCAAACAUGAUGGCCCGAUCUAGAAAAUAAAGAUGAUGGGAACAUAAAUAUUUCACGUGGUGCAUAUUUAAUGUGGUUUAUAUUGUACGGAUUUGGAUUACUCUGCAUAAAAAUAUAGCAUUCUUAUUCAUGUGUAUUGAAUUCGAUUACAGUCUCUAAAAUUUUAAAAUCACCGACUCUCAAUUAAAUAACUAAGUUUAUUUUAUCUAUUAUAUUUAAGAUAACAGCUUUGACAUUUUUAAAUCUAAAACAUUUAAUUAACUCAAGAAUAUGUAAAUUUUUAAUUAGUAUAUUUUUUUAUGUAUUUUUUUAUAUAUAUUAAAAUCUAUACUAUAUUACUAGAACUAACUGAAAUGAAAUGGCGAAGAGACUCAACAGUAAAAAAAACUUGAAGAUGGUAAAUUGUUCAACUUAAAGCCAAAUUUUCCGAAAUGGCUGAAAAUAGAGACGAUACCCUUGGUAAUUUUUUACCAUGAUGGAGUUAUUUUUUCUUUUUUUACUAAAAUGGGGUCCGUUUUAAAAAAAUUACAAAUUUAGGCAAGUCGUGCCAAUUUGGUACGACUUCAUAUGCAGAAGUCGUCCCAAUUAGGUACGACUUUUGUCAUGUCAUACUAAAGUCGUGCCACUUGGCACGACUUCUGCCCUGUCAUACUAAAGUUGUGUCAACUUGGUACGACUUCUGCCUUGUCAUACUGAAGUCGUGCCCUAUCACUUCAUUCUCCACACCAUCAAAUUCCUUACACGUAUAACUUUUUACCUUCUCCUUCAGGUACUUUUUCCACUCCACCAAAUAUAUUUGGAACUUUGGCAUUCACCCCUCUUUCUGCAUAUAAUCCAACAUCAUUCAUGCACUAUCGACCCACAAUGCCCUCACCAACAUCUCAUAAUGAAGGCAAUAACAACGAUGAUGAACAUGUCGUUGAUGAUCCUCUUCCACGAAGACCUCGACAACAAAUACGAAGACCACAUUGUGUCACGUCUUCCCAUAAAUAAUUUACUUCUAGUUCAACUUUAUAGUUUUAUUUUAUAUCUUGUAAUGAAUCUUACUAAUUUGUUUAGUUCUAAUUAAUCUCUUCUCAUCAUUACGUGUUCUGUAAAAUCAUUAUUUCUCAAGCUAUUUAUUUUGCAAAUUCACAACAAUAAUUCUCUAUUUAUUUUCCAAAUACAAUAAAUUUUCAUUUAUGUAUUUAUUUCCAAAUUUAAUAACAAUUUUCUUCAUUUUUUAAUUAAUCAAAUAAUCAAGUUAUUGUAUUACAUUACCGUCAAACAUGAUUCAUACACGAUUAUCCCAUUUUUUGUUCCUUAAAACUAACACUCUUAGAAAAUUAUGUAUCAAAUUAAUUUUUAACAUUACAUAACUUACUACCCAAUAUAUAAAUAAUAAAAUUAAAAAAAAUUAUGACGUGGCAGAAGUCGUGCCAAGUUGGCACGACUUCAGUAUAACAUGGUUGAAGUCGUGCCAAGUUGACACGACUUUAGUAUGACAUGGCAGAAGUCGUGCCUAAUUAGGACGACUUCUGCAUAUGAAAUCGUACCGAAUUGACACAAUUUGCCUAAAUUUGUAAUUUUUUUUAAACGGACCCCAUUUUGGUAAAAACAAAAAAAAAAAUAACCCCAUCAUGGUCAAAAAACCUCAAAGGAUAACGUCAAGUUAAAUAUGUAAUAUGUAUGUAUGUCCUAACAUAUCCAACUCUCUUUUUAUUCGACCAUUUUUAUGUUAUGUAAUACAUUUAUUGUAUGUUGUAUCUCACCAAUCCUUCUGAAAAUUCUAUUGUGGUGUAAGAUUCGGUUUUCGUGCCUCUGACAUUGCCAUGCUUACUAAGUUAUCCUUCAUAAUUUGUCACAAUAUUGCUACUUAUCAAAGGAAAAGUUAUUUGAGCAAAAUACUUACUACUACAUGUCCUGUCUUUGAACUACUUUGAAUUUUUCAUAAACAACAACCUAACCAAACACGAUGCUUUAUAUCCUAUGUACUAUUUAUUUUUCUCAUUUUUAAAUAUAUCCCCUCUCUCACAUGCAUGAACUGACAGGUAUGUCAGGUGUAUUUUGAGGAGAACAAUUCAUCAGUAUCUUUGAUUGGAAGUCCGUUUAACAAAUGGGAUGACGCUUCGGAGGAAGAAUCGAAAGCCCAAAUAGAAGAUAGUGUUGGUGAAGGUUUUUCAGACUCCGAUUACUCAGAACAUGGUGGUAGGCAAGAAGAGAGAAGAGGAGAGGAGAUCGUUCAAUUUCCGACGGAAAAGAAGAGUUUCCAAAAGACGACGCAUGUAAUAGUGGGGGAAUUAAUUCUGUUGGGAAGAGCCAAAAUGUCACGUUGGAAAUGAGGAAAGAGAAAAUUUUUGUAUGGAAAACGUGUAAACCUAAUAAUUUUAUUACAAAAUAGAACAUAGAUAAAUAAAAGAGAACAAAAGAUGAACAAAAGAGUAAAAGGAAGGUAAAAAAUAUGAGAAUGAAUAUCUUUCUUUUCUUGUUAUUGAAAUCAAAACAAAUGGUCUGAAUAUAUACAAGUAGUACACUCAUUCUAGGUUUAACUAAAGAUGAAAAGAAUCAAUAAUUAAAUACUAGAAUCAUAACAAACAAAGACAAAAUAAAGGUUAUUCACCUCUAUAAAGAGAAACAACUGAUAAUUAGAAAAGAUACCCAAUUAAUAUUAAGAUUCUUCUAUAACUCUGGUAUCCGUAUCCUUUAAUACCCCGUCACAAGCUGGGGAGCAAAUAUUGAUGAGACCCAGCUUGGAACAAAUAUUCUUAAAAGAUUGAGGACUUAAAGCUUUGGUAUAAAUAUCAGCCAGUUGCUCUGUGGUGGAAAUGAGAAGCAAAUGAAUGAGACCCUUCUUUAAUUUUUCCCGGACCACGUGACAAUCUAUUUCUAUAUGUUUCGUACGCUCGUGAAACACUGGAUUUGCUGCAAUGUAUCUUGCUGAGUCAUUGUCACAGUAUAAAAGAGAUGGUUGCUCAAAAGGAACUUUGAAAUCUUGAAAAAGAUAAGUUAGCCAUUGAAUUUCACAUGUAACAGUGGUCAUUGCCUUGUAUUCAGCUUCACAAGAACUCUUUGAUAUUGUUCCUUGCUUCUUUGAUUUCCAAGAUAUGAGAGAAUUCCCAAGAUACACACUAAAACCAGUCACUGAUUGUCUUGAAUCACUACAGGUGCCCCAAUCACUAUCACAAAAGGCUUUCAGAUGAACAGAGGUAGUGGAAGAGAAAAAUAGACCAAGACUUGGAGCCCUUUGAUAUAUCUGAGAAUUCUAAUCGCUGCAUUAUAGUGAGCAAUUGUAGGCUUAGCAAGAAACUAAAAAGUUGUUGUACAAAAUUUUUUAUGUCAGGUCGGGUAUUAGUGAGAUACAUAAGUUUUCCAAUCAAUCUUCUGUAGGUUUGAAUAUAUGUGAAAGGAACACUUCCAGUAGAAGAGAAUUUCUCAUGAUUAUCAAUAGGAGUGGGUGUAGGUUUGCAGGCUAAAAGACCUGCAUAUGUUAAUAAUUCUAAUGCAUAUUUCCUUUGAUUUACCAUUAUUCCUGUCUUACCUUUUGCUACUUCUAGACCAAGAAAAUAUCUUAAAUUCCCAAGAUCUUUAAUCUUGAAUGUCUGAUUCAUGGCUUGUUUGAUUCGAGCAAUCUCUUCUUUAUCAUUUCCUGUCAAUAUUAUAUCAUCCACAUAUACCAAUAAUGCUGUAAAAGAUCCUUCAGAAUAAUUAAUGAACAAGGAAUGAUCAUUCAUAGAUUGAGUAUAUCCCAUAGAAAGCAAAAAUGAUGACAGUUUGGCAAAACCAUUAUCUACUGACUUGCUUAAGGCCAUGUAAAGCCUUUUUUAGUUUACAAACUUUUCCUGGUGGAAUAAAAGUCAUUCCAAGAGGAGCAACCAUGUAUACAUUUUCUUUUUCAAAUCUCCAUGUAAAAAGACAUUUUUAUGUCUAAUUGUUUCAAUUCCCAAUUAUAAAUAGAAGCUAAAGAAAGAAGCAACCUUAUGGUGGUCAUCUUUGCUACUGGAGAGAAAGUAUCAAGGUAGUCAAUGCCUUCUGUUUGUGUAUAUCCCUUUGCCACUAACCUUGCUUUAUACCUUUCAAUUGUCCCAUCAGCCUUAUAUUUUAUUUUGAAUACUCAUUUGCAACCUAUGGCACCUUUAUUCUUAGGCAGAAGAGCAGUCUCCCAAGUUUGAUUUGACUAUAAAGCAGAUAUCUCACAUUGUAUAACUUUUCUCCAACAUUCAUGUUUCACAGCUUCAUAAUAAGUGUUUGGCUCAACAUGUGAAGAAAGAGACAUAACAAAAGAUUUAUAAGGAGGUGAUAAAUUGCUAUAAGACAAAACAGAAUUAAAAGGAUAUUUAACUCUUGAAGAUGCACUGGAAACAUUAAGAUUACAAUGAUAAUCAAUACUCAGGUGGUCUUUUUAUUCUUGUGCUCAUUCGGAAAGAUGGAUCUGAUUUAGAACUUUGUUCUAUAUCAUGAUUUUCAUUGAGGUUUUGAUCUAUGUGGGAACAAUCUUCUUCUGAAACAUCAAUUUCUGACUCACAAUUAUUAUCACUGCUAUUUUCAACAUUAUCACAAGGUGUAUUAUCACAAGGUGCAAGAAUGGCUUGUGAUGACUGAUAUAAGACAGAUUGAUCUUCAGCAAACAAAAUUUGAUCAUUAAUGUCAGAACUGUUAGUUUCAUUGCUAGUAUCUUGAAUCCUUUGGUAUGGAAAAACAUGUUCAUAAAAGACAACAUCCCUAGACACAAAUUUCUCUUGAUUGAAUAUUCAACAAAAUAUAUCAUUUUGUCCCCCUUUGAAAACCAAUAAAAACACAUUUUGAUGCUCUUGGAUCAAAUUUUCUUCUAUUUGUUGACAAAGUGCUAGCAUAACAUAAAGAACCAAACACCUUUAAUCCAUUAAAAUUUGCAUCAGUUUUGAAAAGCAUUUCAUGAGGAGAAGAAUAGUUUAAAACAGGUGUGGAAAGCAUGUUUAUAAUAUGUGCAACAUGUAUCACAGAAUAUGACCAAUAAAUUUUGGGUAAAUGAGAUUGUAUCAUAAGAGCUCUUGCUACAUCUAAUAAAUGAUCAUGUUUCCUUUCAACUAUACUAUUUUUGUUGUGGAGUAUUGACACAUGAUGUUUGAUGUAUUAUUCCUUUACUGNNNNNNNNNNNNNNNNNNNNNNNNNNNNNNNNNNNNNNNNNNNNNNNNNNNNNNNNNNNNNNNNNNNNNNNNNNNNNNNNNNNNNNNNNNNNNNNNNNNNNNNNNNNNNNNNNNNCAGAUUUUUGUUUCAAAAGAAAAAUCCAUGUGUACCUCGAAUAGUCAUCAACUAUGGUCAAGAAAUAUUUAUGACCAUGAAUUGAUGGUAUUGAGUAUGGUCCCCAAAUAUCUACAUGAAUCAAAUCAAAACAUUUUUUUUUGCGAUUUAGAUGUACUAAUAGGAAAAGAAAGUAUUUUUUGCUUUGCAAAAUGACAAACAUCACAAACAAAAGAUUUGUUAUAUUUAACAUAAGGAAAUUUAUUCUUGAUAACAUUAAUACAUUUAUUUGAAAUAUGACCUAAUCGAAAAUGCCAAAGGGUUUCUAGAUCACUAGCACUAACAUUAACAGUAUUGAUGAUGUGUGUACAUUCAAGGGGUUUAAUUUGAAAUUUCCGGUGAGAUGGGAUCCUGAGUAUAUAAAGUCUAUCUUGCAUCUGAGCAGAACCAAUUAUUUUCAAGGAGUUUUUGUCUUGAAUGUGACAACCAUUAGAAUCAAAGGUAAGAACACAAGAUAGUCUAUCAAUCAGUUUUGUUACUAAAAGAAGAUUAAAAGUGAAGCAAGGAAUAUACAAAACAUUGUUUAUGACAUGAUCUUGAUUGAGAAAAACACUUCCAGAAUAAUUGGCAAUGACUUGGUUUCCAUUUGGUAAUUUGACAUAAAAAGGAUCAAUUUGAUGAUACGAAGUGAAGUAAGUUAAGGAUGAACAAAUGUGAUCAGUAGCACCACUAUCAAUAAUCCAAGAACUAAAAGAAGAAAUAAAGUUAUUACCAGUUUGUGUUGUCAUGAUGGAAGGAAUAACAAAGACUUGACUAGAAACAUUGUCACUGGAUUUGACCUGUUGUAAAAGAGCUAACAAUGUUUGAUACUGCUCAGGAGUAAAACCAAUUUGUUGAGACUCCACUUCUAACUUUGAACCUUCAUGAUUUUGCUCAUUAUUGUUAAAAUUUGUAUUGUGAAAGGCUGCAUGACUCUGAUGAUGGUUUUGAUUUUUAAAUUUGAAAUGAGGUGGAAAACCACGCUUUUUAUAGCAUGUAUCAAUGGUAUGCCCUGUCUUUCCACAAUAAAUGCAAAUUUUGGAAGUAUAUCCUCCUCCAUAGUUUCCUCUUCCAUAUCCACCACCCAUGCCAUAGGUCGUAGCAUUGUUAUUAUAACCUCCUUUGCUACUAGCAAUCAUUGCCUUGGAUUGAUCACCAAAAACUUGCCUCUAUUGUUGUGUAAUGAGAGAGUAAACUCUAUUCAAGGAUGAAUUAUCUUAUGAACUAACAUGGUAAGGUGAACAAAGAUCUUGUGAGGGAUCAACAACUUCACCCAUAGAUAAAUGUAGCAACCAAAGCUCUAAUCAGAGCUCUCUUUUCUUGUUAUUGAAAUCAAAACAAAUGGUUGAAUAUAUACAAGUAGUAUACUCAUUCUAGGUUUAACUAAAGAUGAAAAUAAUCAAUAAUUAAAUACUAGAAUCAGAACACACAAAGACAAAAUAAAGGUUAUUCACCUCUAUAAAGAGAAACAACUGAUAAUUAGAAAAGACAAUUAUUCUCCUCUAUAAAGAGAAACAAUUGAUAAUUAGAAAAGAUACCCAAUUAAUAUUAGGAUCCUUCUAUAACUCUGGUAUCUGUAUCCUUUAAUACAUUUCUUGGCAGAAAUUAAGUGCAAAAAGACUAAUGAUAGAGUAUGAGCAGAUGUCCUAAUUUGUAGUGGGUUGGUUUAGGCCUAACUGAAUGCAUACAGUUGGGUUAGGGAAACCCUAAUUUAUGACACAAUUGCUGACAUGGACUCACAACUAGAAAUUGUUAGACAAGGAGGAGCGACGAACUGGGUGGGAGACGACGCGGUUCCCCCUACGUCGCUGACGGUGGCUUACGACACUGGUUUCGAGGGCCUCGACAUCGACGAAGCCGACGCGGCUUCUCUUGCGCCGCCGGUAGCGGCUAAUGUAAUUGGUAUUGAGGAUCCCAACGCUGGUUAUACCUUGAAGUUGUCGGAGGCAGGCAGUGAGGGGCAACGAUUAUUGAUGGCGGUUGUCGAAGAUGCUAGAACAAUGAAGGAGGCAGGCGAUGGUGCAAUUAGUGACGGCCGUGGCGCGACUGUAGUGGCGAGCAAUGGCGAGAUUGGUGCUAGCAAUGACACGACUUCAGUGGUUGGAGAUGGCGCGACUAUAGUGUUUGGCAAUGGUGUCGGCGCGUCUGUAGGGGCGGAGCAGCGUGCGGCAGCGGCUGACGCUGUUAUGUAUGAUAGUUCCGGCAUGGGGCGCGGCAGUGGAGAGGAGGUGAGCGACGAAUGUGUGGUGGUAGUGGUGGCAAGGGUUACACAUGUUGAGGGAGAAGAAGGUGGGUUUGAUGACGAAAACAAAGGAUCUUUGGGGUGUGAGGCAAUCAGAGAAACAACAAGCGUGAUGGAGAGGAUGGGGUUAGUAUGGAGUAGAGAGGAUGAUGGAGCUGCAAAGACGUCCACUCAUAGGGGCACGAUAAGGGAGACUGAGACUUUUUUUUGCAAGUCACCCAGUGGGGAGGAUGAUGGCUAGUUUUGGCGGAAGGGUGGACGAUUUGCCUAAAUCGAGAGACGAAAGCUCACCGAGGAUUGAAAGGUUAUCUAUGUCAGAUUCACUAAAAUGCUUAAGAUCAGAAAUCAUUAUCUUAGACAAAGAUGCCAGAAAAUACAGUAGAAUGCUUUGGUUAAAAGAUGAGCAGGGCGAAGCUAGGAAGAGAUGGAAAGUUGGUAAGGAGAUGAGUUUCACACUGUUAAGUGAAGAAAAUGUGGUAUUAAAUAGGCUUAGCAGUUUGGAGAAUCGGGAUUGCAGGAAUUUGGAGAUGGAGAUUAAUGUUUUUUAUGAUGAGUCUAAUUAGUUUGAAUAUAAGAGGAGUAAGAGGAAAUAUAAAAAGAACAUACGUAAGAGAAUUAAUUAGAAAAGAGGAGGUUAGAAUGGUUUGUUUACAGGAAACAAAGUCCUUAGUGCUCAGUAAGAACAAUUGCUUUUAUAUGUGAGGUUCAAAUGAAAUUGAUUGGGUGGAGAAUGGUGCAGUAAAUAAUGUUGGUGGAAUCAUUACUAUGUGGAGAAGAAGUAGUUUUAAUAAGACAAGUUUUUUAAAUGGGAAAUGUUACUCUAUCAUCGAAGGAGUUUGGAAAGUAGGAGACGGGAUACACAUUACGAUAGUAAAUGUGUACAGUUCCAGCUCGUUGAAAGAAAGGAAGGAGGUUUGGGAUGAGUUACGAGAAAUCAGGAAGAACCAACAAAACAAGGUAUGGUGUGUUGUCGGGGAUUUUAAUUCAAUCAGAAGAAAAGAUGAGAGAAAAAGCGUAGUCUCAACAUCAGAUUAUAGUAGAGAGAUCAGGGAUUUUAAUGAUUUCAUUGAAAACACGGAGUUAUUGGAUAUUCCAAUGGUCGAAAAAAAGUUUACUUGGUAAAAGCCAAAUGGGACGGUCAAUAGCAGAAUUGACAGAAUUCUUGUCUCACCAGAAAGGUCUUUGAUCAUUGUGCUUUAGUUCUAAAAGUUUUAUCGGUGGAUUGGGGGCCUAAACCUUUCAGGAGUCUGGAUGUGUGGCAAAGGGAUAGUGGGUUCCUGGAUUUUGUUCGCAGUAAAUGGCAGAGCUAUGAGGUGUUUUGUGGAGGGAUGGUUGUUCUAAAAGAAAAAUUGAAAAAUUGAAAGCUAGAUUUGAAGAGGUGGAAUAGGGAGGUUUUCGAGAAUGUCAAUCGGGAAGGGGAAUCUAUACAAAAGAAGAUUCAAGAGUUGGACGCAAGAGACAAUGAAAGUGAGUUAGAUGAGCUGGGGAGGGAGGAGAGGGACUUUUGCUAGUGGAACAAAGUCGAAACCUUUUUACACAAGAAGCGGUCUUGCACCAAAAAGCAAGACUAAAGUGGUUGAAACAAGGCGAUCUAAACACUAAAUUUUUCCACUCCUCAGUGAAGUGGAGGAGAAUGAGAAACGGGAUCAACGGGGUACCUUAUGUGUUCAAUAUACACAAGGGAUUUACCCUACUCUUUCUUUUACUUUAAUAACUUACACAAUAUCCUUUAUUAUAUUACAUAAAUGCUCUGAUUAUAUCACAAAGUACUCCGAUUUAUAUCCAUGAUAUUCAGAUUAUAUGAAAGGAUACUAUGAUAUGUCACAUCAAAACCUGGAGAAACUAGUGUUAGAGAUCCAAGUCCAUGAAGGCUUAUAAAUAGAUGACCACUCAUAGGGAGUAAUCUCAACUCGAAUUUUGGCACUAUACUCACUAUAUAAACAAAAUUUGAUGCUCUUACUGAGUUGAGCGUCAGAGUAUUUUUUGCAGGUGGAGCCCCCCUCAUUCCUUGGAAGUUGAAUCACUAGAGCUUAAAGGGAGACUACCCGAAGCCCACUCAAAUUUAGAUUGACCUCAUCUCGGCGAGAACUGUAAUAGUCUAUCAUUUGAUUGAUAUUGAUGCGGUAUAAAAAUCAUUUAUAUUGAUUCCUCGCAUAUAAAAUUAUUAAGAGAGUCUCUUAAAUAUUGAUUCCUCGCAUAUUUAUAAAAAUUUCUUAUCAUUAUUAUUAGACGUUGAUAGCAAUUAACAUUUCAAAUCUAUUCCAAGUAUUCAAAUACGUUAAGCAUUAUCAUUUGGGUCAGAAACUUAGAAUUACUUUCCAGUCAUAAGAGUUUCAAAGAUGAACUUCAAUCCCAUUUUUCCCAAUUGAAGCAACAAACUCUUUGACUUGUGUUUUUUAAUCAUUGCAAUCAUAACAAACUCCCAACAAACUUUGUUAUUUUGUUUUCUAUUUAAUGAAUAUUUUACUUGAUUAUUCAAGUGUUCCUUGUGAGUUCGAUAUUCGUCCUUAAGGAUAAAUUAUUACUUCUGACAACACGGUGCACUUGUUGUAUCACAUAUUUAUAAAAACUUCUUAUCAUUACGAUUAGACGUUGAUAACAAUUAACAUUUCAAAUCUAUUCCCAACAUUCAAAAUAUGUUAAACAUUAUCAUUUGGGUCAGAAACUCAAGAGUAUUUUCCAGUCAAGAUCAAUCUAGAUCAUAGAAACAAACAUUACAAAUAAAAUGACAAUAACAAUCAUCAAUCAAGAACAAAAUAUUAUAUUUAAAUAUCAACUCAAUACAUAAGAGGAUGAAUUUCAAUCCCAAUUUUCAAAUUGAAGCAACAAAUUCUUGGACUUGUUUUCUAUUUAAUCAUUAUCAUCAUAACAAACUCCCAACAAACUUUGUUAUUUUGUUUUUUAUUUAGUGAAUCUUUUACUUAAUUAUUCAAUUGUUCCUUGUAGUUCUGAAAAUACAAUGCCCUUAUUAAAAUAGUUAUCACAUCUUGUCUCAAUACAUGGGGAUUGGGAGAAGCCAAUAGGAGAUCAUGUUUCCUCUUCAUACACAAAAGCUCCCCAACCACUUAUCACGAAGGAGGAAGUGGCUUUGUACUAAAUCUGCACCAGAUUUCACUCCUCCUCCAGAAGUCGGUCAAGGCCAACCCACUUCUUGUCACUGAACAAAACUCGUAGAUCAAAGAUCAAGAUGCGUUCUGCUUCAAUUCUGAAUUUGCGACACCCUUUGCAAGGAACAUAUCGAGUUAUUAACUUUGAAAGUCAAUAAAAAUAUUAUUUGCAGCAUUUUGAGUUAUUAACUUAUUAAUGACAAUAAAUAUGGAAGUUUUUGUUCAAUAAAAAAUUGAAACGUAAAAAAUGGGAAAAUAUGAUAUAGAAUUGUACCUUAAAUGGCUCUUCCAAUGUUAGACGACUUCUAGGCAAAUUUAAAACAAUGAUGUGCUUUGGAUUAAAUUUUGGUGGGAAAGACUUUGAAGGACACUCUUCCCAGUCAAGAAGUCUUAAAUAAUUUGGUAAAUGUUCAAGUUCAGAUGAAAAUUGUGUGUUUCGAACAAUGAGAAUUCUGAGACAUUCCAUCUUCACCAACUCAGUACCACUCCAUUCUACUUUUUCUCGUUGAGGGGGAUCAAGCAUAAACCCUUGAAUCAUAUCACUUCCCUUUAACACAAGUACAAAGAAGCAACAUCAACUGCCUAUUAUCAGUAAUAUAAAAUACUAUAAUCUAUAAAUAAAAAACAAAAUAGAAUAAAAGAGUAGAGGAUUACGUAAUCUUUUGUUAGUAUUUCAAUAGCAUCUUCAUAAUACCAUAUUCUGCUACGUUUAGCAGGAUUUGGUGAUUCCUGCUUAACAAUCUCUCUACCCAUAUCUUGUAUUAGAUCAUGCAUCUUCAGGCAGCCAUUCUCGACAGUUAUGAGAGAUUUAUUAAGAAGUAAUUUCAUGUUGGUUGUUGGACAAAAUUCUUGAAGUAUCUUUUUCACAUAUUCCAUUCUCUCCCCUUUAAAGAAGCAAGCUAUGUCCAAGAAAAUUUGUUGGGCAUUAUCAUCCAAUCUAUCGUAGCUUAUUUGAAGCACAUCUUGAAUCUUUGUAUUUGGAGUCUUCUCAUAUUCUUUCAUUGCCAUUUCCCAAUCUUCUAAACUUUCAUGAAAAGCAGCUAAAUCAGAGCCUAUGACUUUUAAAGCCAGUGGAAGACCUUUGGCGUAAUCUACAGCACGCACAGACACAUCUUCAAAACCUGUUUUAGGAUAACUUUGUCUGAAGGCAUUCCAACAAAAUAGCUGUAAAGAAUGUUGGUCAUCAAGUUCCUUCAUUUCAUACGUAGGUUUAACUUGGUGAGCAAUUAGCACAUUUUCUUCCCUUGUGGUUAUAAUGAUCCUACUACCUGGACCAAACCAAUUACACUCUCCUGCCAACUUUUCUAACUGGUCUUUAUCACCAACGUCAUCAAGAACCAAAAGAACUUUCUUUUUCUGAAGCUUUUCUUUUAUUUCACCCAUUCCUUUAAUUGUACUUUCCAAUUUAGUUUCCAACUCCUCAAACAUCUUAGAUAAAAGUGUCUUUUGUAGAUCUUCCAUGCCAUUGAUUCUGUUUGAUUUUUCUCUAACAUCGGAAAGAAAACUUGCUGCAUCAAAGUGUUGCACAAUUUUGUCAUACAAAGCUUUGGCAAGUUCCGUUUUUCCAAUUCCACCAAGUCCAUAUAUGCCCAACAUAUUUACAGUUUUAUCAUCAGGCUUCAUGUCUAAAAGUGACAUAACUUCUUCUAUGCAAGCCUCAAGUCCAAUAGGGUUUUGACCACUAUAUAAAGGUUUAGGAAUUAUAUAUUCAUGGACCUUCUCAACAAUUUCUUCAAUACAAUAGCUUUCAUCAUCCCUAUAAGAGUAGAAUGUAUUAAUUAAUUAUUUGUUUGAUAUCAUGAUUUUUUUUAUUGUACUAAGUG